CCUCACGUCGAAAUGGUUGACGUAGUCGGAGCGGUACGUCUGUCCGACCACACCGUGGACGUCGUCGGUGAGCGCGUCGAACUUGAACGCCAGCUCGAGGUGCGCGAGGCAGUCAUCGGCGGUGACGCCGUAGCGGUGCACCCUCGAUUCCUCCUCGGUGAUGGGCACGGCGUUGGCCCUGACGCUGAACUUUCCGGCGACGGCGACGAGGACGCCGUUGGUCGCCUUGGUGCGGGUCACGGACAGCUCGGGCACGCGGCUGGACGUCCACUUGGCGCCUUCGAUGAGGUCAGCGGGAAGGUAGACAGGCUCGCCGUCCAGGGUGAUGUCCAGGUGCUCGACGGCGUCGUCCCAGGUGCCGGUCUUCCUGGCGCCGAGGUAGAGGCGGUGGCCGUCGAAGAGCACGGCGAUGGCCUGGAUCCAGGUGAAGUCCCGGGACAUGCCGCUGUGGCCGCUCUUGCCGAUGAAGUGCGCGUUGAUGUGAAGGUCGCGGUCGGAGACGACGCAGAAGUCGGCGUCCCUGCGUCCGUGGAAGUAGAAGGCGUUGCCGUCACCACCUAUGAACCGCGGGUCGCCGCACGCCCCCGGGGUGUUGCAGACUGCACGAAGGCACGAACCAAAACCAUUAACCAACAAAAUCAACGUACGUAAGUAGCUCCAUUGUUAAGACAUGGCAUCGAUCCAGUGGUUACCGCAGACGGGUUUGCAUGUGUUGCAGUCGGGGUAGCAGGACUGGGGGCAGUUGGCGGGGCAGUCCAUGUUCCGGUUGAAACAGUAGGGGUUCUCCUUGCGGUUCUCAGUGCACUUGACCUUCAUCGGCUUCGGCUUCGGCUUCGGGCCCUGGGCGUUGGGUGGCCGUGGCGUGGAUUGCCCGGCGGCGGCCCCCGCUGCGGCAAGAAGGACGACAGCCGCUAAAGCCAGCACGACUCCCAAACGGCUCGCCAUUGCGAGCGCCCUAACGCUGUCAGUGCUAGUUACUAUAGUGUAUUUGUUGCCGAUGAUUGAUCGGCUUGAAUGGGUACGUUUGAAUGCAUGGUUCCUAGGCAAUUUAUAGGCGAUCGAUCGGUCGAGUUGGCAUCUAUCUAUCUGGUUGCUUCGUACAUGGCGCUUGUCAACGCCAAGCCGGAGCGUAACGUGCCGUGCUUGCCGCUCGCUUGAAGUGGAAAAGCUUAUACUUUGCGUGCAUAUAGGUGCAUGCAUGCGUAGAUGGAACUUUAUGCUAGCUACCUGCUACUCUUAUGUACCGUAGGUCCUGUGCUAUGUACAUGCAUGUAAGUAUAUAAGUACAGUACACUCUGUGGACUAGCGUAGCAGGUUUUCAGGGCAAGAUUGCCAGGAUGCAACUUAAUCUUGAUGGAAAGAGGCCAACGCAUGUGCUUAGCAGCCUGCUAAAGGAAGCAAUCCGAGCGUUUAGCCGUCCUUGAUUACAACGUACCCCCUUCGUUUUUAUUUAGUCCGCAUAUUAGCUUUGGUCAAAAUCAAGCUUUGUAAACUUUGACAAAGUUUAUAAACAAAAAUAUUAACAUAUACAAUAACAAAUCAAUACCAUUAGAUUCACUAUUGAAUGUAUUUUCCAUUCAUAUUAGAUUUGUUAUGAUGAAUGUUUAUAUUGUUUUCUAUAAACUUGGUCAAAUUUUAUGAAGUUUGACUUCAGUCAAAUAUAAUAUGCGAAGUAAAUAAAAACCGAGGGAGUACCCUUUUAUUCUCUUGUCCUAUUCAUUUCAUUGCAUCAUUCUCGGAUCAACUCAAAUUUUGAGAAUCUGGCGGGAGCUCCUGUUUAUGCAUCUAGUGACGACUACAAGCACAACAGCAAGUCGAAAGAGCGUCAUUGUCAUCACCUUUAUGUCACCAAAGCCGAGCAGGCCUUGUUGUAUUGGACGGUCAGGGAUUCGUUGCGCUAUGGCCCCACACACCCUCUGACGACACUAUAGACACACCAUCUGGACGGGGAUUGGACAUGGGAGACAUCAUCCUACUAGGGGCAUCGAUCACCGCCACCACACAACCCAACAACGUUGAACCAAACAAGAACAAGAGCGGAGUCACAUUGGAUGCAUGGCGGACCGGCGGCGGUGUCGACAGAAGGAGGAAAAACCUAACCCCUUGGGAGUCACCUCGUGACCGAGUAUUAAUUACGUCGUUCUGCUCAUUCUGUCCAAUCAUUCAGAGGGAAAUGUAGACCAAUAUUUGUUGCACUUCUAUUAUGUCUUAGUAGAUCCUUUUUGUUCUAUGGUGAUUCGUGAUCUAUUAUGAUUGAUUUGAAUUGUAUGUUAUGAUAUGUUGCUAUCCUUUGGUGUCCAACAUAUGAGCGCGCACUUUAGAGUUAGUAGUAUGUUGAGAUAACUACACAUAGGGCAGCCAGAGUGACAGAUAUUACCGAUUCUGAGUAUAGGAAGUUGAUGCAUAUGGGAUAAAGGCAGCCAUAAAUUUUAAUGCUAUGGUUGGAUUUUACAUUAAUAAAUUCUUAGUUGUUGUGGAUUUUUGCUAAAGGUUUCAAUCAUAAGUACAUGUUGUCGAUGGAUUUUGUUGCAUGUUAGUAUAGGCUUCUCUCACAUAUAACAUUAUAAUGUAUAACUAUUGGUCUAGUAAUGUAGCCACUUGCCUAGGGACAAUUCAGGCACCUACCACCUCUACUCCACACUCACUACCUUUUAUUUUAUUGUGACUUUACAUUAAAAUAACUAACUAUUAUUUAGUAAUACUUUAUUAUCUUGCAAACUAUCUCUUUUAUACAUGUAAAAUACUUUUUAGUUAUAUAGUCUAGGUAAAGCAAAACAUUCGGUGUACGCAGGGUUGUAUCAUUGGCAGAUACAAAUUCUACCUUUAGAUCAUUUUGGGUUCGACACUCCUUAUUUACCACCUUCACAUUGAAAAGUAUUACGUACUCCCUGCACUUGGGAUUAUCAGUUGUGCACGCAUGAUGGACUACGCAUCGAGGAGUACAAGUUUACUACAAUGCAGAGUACAGGUUGGGUAAAAAAGGUUCAUCGAAAUCUAUCAACAGGGAAUCUAUUUCCAAAGCUCUCACAUGAGAAGCACGAUGGUGAAAAUGGUUUUGUGGUUUGGCCACACGAUGGGGAGAUAUUUUGAUUUGAAAACCGGGUCUCGAGAAACAAAGCGCACACAGUCAAACUCUCAUCCCACUGAACCAUGGAAAAACUCAUCAAAACUCUCUUGUGGGGGACAAAUGGAGUUAUUAUGUUUUGCCACUUAUCAUCACCAAAGACAAUAUGUUAGUUGGCGUCAGUCCAGUCGGUACUAUGCAAUUGCAUGCUAGUAAGAUAUGUUCUUUUAACAUUUGACUUUUAUCUUAUAAUCAUGAAUUUUAAACUAGCCUAGUUUGAUUUAACAAACGUUUUCUCUCUUCCAGCUUUAAAAUAUUUUUUAUUUUUUUACAACUGUAAUUGUAUUUUUUAUUAUAAUAAUUUUAUAUCAAUUCUCAUCAUUUAUUUAAAAAUAUUCAUUUCGUAGUAAAGAUGCUCAAGAUGCAUUUAAAAAUUCUCAAAGUGUAUUGAAGAAAUGUUCAUCGUGCAUUUAGUUUUUUGGCAUUAUUCCAAAAUAUUUGUCAUGUAUUAUAACAAGUUCAAUGUGUAUUUCAAAAUUGUUUAAUGUGUAUUUAGAAACUUUUCAAUAUCUAUUUAAAAUAUAUUUCUUGUGUGUUUCAAAUUAUUCUAAUUACGUCCGCUUUUGGUUCCUUUGCCGUCUGCCAUGGCAGACGGCAAAGAAGCUGAUUCCUGCAGUGCAUAUAUAUAUAUGACUAUUUUCUUUAAUUUUUUCUUUGGGUAUUAAGAAACCUCAAUGUUUAUUAUAAAAUGUUUAGUGUGUAUUUAAGAUAUAUUCAUGGUGUAUUAAAACAUGAUAUGAACAUUUUUCAAAUAUGCGGUUACAUUUCAGAAAACAUGGCAAAGACUUGUUAAAUACAAUGAGCAUUUCUUAGAAUAAAUGAUAACAUUUCUUUAAAUACCCCCAUGAAACUUUUGAAAGUACAUGGCAUUCUUUCUUAAACACGUGGAAAUAUUUGGAAAUAUACGACAAACAUUUUUUGACGACAUGGGGAACAUUAGUUUUAUGUGCGAUUAACAUAUUAUAAUUGGACAAUGAAAUUUCCUGAAAAGAGGGUGAACUUUUAAAAAAUACACUAUGAACGGAUUUAAAUGCAUGAUGAAGAUUUGGUUUGUGUAAAAUUUUAAAUACACCAUGAGUAAUUUUAAAAAAACACAAUGUACAAAAUGAGGAAUAACAAAGAAAAAAAGAAAUAUGCGAAAGAAAAAGGGAACAUGGUGAAAAAAAGAAAAAUAAUAAUAGAAAAAGCAGAGGAAAAACUCGUAGUUUCAUAGCACAAAUACGUGCAUGAAGAAUCCGGUAGAAAAAUCACUAGCUGGGCCAUGACCCAUGAGAAAUUAUGUGUAGACUAGUGAUACAUCCACCUGCGAUAUUUAGCUUUUGCGCCGGCAAAUAACACAAAACCCAUUUGGCGCCUUAGGCGCCACUUUUAGCUAUAUUGGGACAGGGCACCCAUACCCUUCGAUCUAAUGGUCUGGCCCAUCUAAGGCACCUUCGCGGGAAGCUCAUUCUGGUUUUUGGAAGGUUCCAGAAGCUUCACAACCAUGUUUCUGGGAAUCUUUGCCCAAAAAAAAGGUUUUGGGGGAUCUUCUAUAAGCUUUCGGUCGGUAAAAAACCAUUUUAGACUUUUGGUUUUCAUUUUUCUUUCAAAUGCAUGAUUUUUUUUCAAACUUCUGAAUAUAUUUUCUAAAUUUGUGAGUAAAGUUACCGGAAUGGUCAAAUAGUUGAUCAUAGGAAAACAAUGAAAAUGUUGUUAAGUACUGACGACAUGUUUCUCACAUACGGAGAAAAUGAAGAGAUUGUUGUAAGGACUUACAUCAAUACAAGGUCGUUGUAAGUAGUACAUUGAUAAGAUCCUCAUCGAUGCUCCAAUCGAUUUUUAAUUUCAAUUAAAUAAUUUAUGGUGGCACUGUAAGUUGGAAUUGGUCCAAGGAAGUUACUGUGGUGAAUUCUAUAAGAGAAGGUUGAAGUAUAUUGUCGCUUUAGAAGCAACGAUGAAGGGUUAUGAAUGAAAAGUUCAUGAACUUGAUAUAGUUUCUAGAUGAUUGUGUCAAUGGAACACUGUUCGUAAUAGUGGUUCCAUAGCUCGGUCUAAGGAAUCGAAGGUUCUGCUAGUGAUUCAAUAUAUACAAAGCUAGUUUCACACGAAUUAUAAAUACUUGUGAAAGCAUUAUAGAUGCAUAGAAAUGCAAAAGAUAUACACGAAUCUGAAAUUGUCAAGAUCUGAUAGGACGAAGGCUAUACCACAAGCAAAGCAUGAACAAACACGGGAUUGUCAUUGGCGUAAAAGAAAAAAAUGCUAACUAUAUUAUUGACUCUAGUGCAAGUGGGAGUCUGUUGGAAGUAUGUCCUAGAGGCAAUAAUCCUGUAUUAUUAUAUUUCCAUGUUCAUAAAUCAAGAGUUUAUGUUCUAUGCUAUAACUGCUAUGAUCCUGGAAUAUGCGAUCCAGUGAAAAAUUCAUAUGCACAUGUGGAAUGAUAAAGGUAAAAUAUGAUUCCUAGCCUUGCCUCUAAAACCAGCUCAAGUGUUUUUGCUGAUCACAUUCUCCGGAUCUUGAGAUAUUGUUGAGUGUGACGAUAGUCUCAAAACAGCAUUGAAAAUAUGACGUUAGAAGAACGUCUAUAUUGAAUAGACUUGUUUGUUAUGUUUUGAGAUGCAAUCGUUAGAAGUCAGUUGUUAUAACACGUAGUGUUAACGUGUGAUUAGUUCCUUAGACCAUGAGAGUAUCACAGUCACUUCUUACUUUACGAUGGACUUUAGGGUUGCUCAAACGUCAUCUGUAACUAGGUGAUCAUAAUGAAAACUUAGAGGUUAAACGGAAAGUUUGACAAGGGACUGGAUGCUCAACAAUGGGAUUUGCUCCUCCGAUGAUGGAGAUAUGUUCUUAGGGCCCUCUCGGUGUGAUGGCAUCCAUCAUCGUCUGUCCAGACAGAUGUGACUAGGUCAGAGGAUCCUGUAACAUGUCAACGAGAAAGAAGAAGGAAACCAGCAAGGAGGAGACCGUCAUAGUGAGCAUGGUGGUGACUCAAGAGGAUACUGAUUCAUCUCACCUUGGAUUUUUUUAAGAUAUCUCGAAGCAAAGGGAACAUCGCAUGGUAACCAAAGGUUCACUCGAAUGUCAUUCGUGUACUCAUAGAGAUUCAUAUGGACGUCCACGGUUUCACUAUCGGUCAUUGAACAAAUGGGUUUUGUUCAUGUCUAUGUUUUACCGAACCUACAGAGUCACAAGGUUAAGGUAAUCACGAUAUGCCGAGUGUUAGUAGGAAGAGAAUAAUGAGAAUUCAUUUUUGAAAUAGUUUCACUAAUAUUCAGAAUAGUUUUGAGAGGAACUGAAAACGUCACUAGAAGGGUUUCGGAGUUUAUCCAGUAAUAUCGUGUAUUUUUGAUAAAUAAUAUAUAGGUGGAAAAUGUUUUCGGUGAUUUUUAAUUAAUAAUAAAAGGCUCUAGUAAUUUUUAGGAGUUUUUUAUAUUUAAUUUAAUAUCAACGGGACUUAAAAGGCCAAGUGGUGGCAGGCUACUUGGGUCACUUGGGCCGAAAAGGGGUGGCCCCCCUUCUCCCCAUGGAAAGGGGAAGGUGAGGCCAAAUUGGAGGGGGAUUCCCCCCUCCUUGGCUGGCCAAAGGGGGAGGGUUUCCUUCCUGAUAAUCCCUAAGUGCAAGGAAUCAUCGUAGCAAUUUCCAAAGGUGGAAGUGAUAAGUAUGGAGUGUCGAACCCACAAGGAGCUAAAGGUAAGAUCAAUAUUCUCUCAAGUCCUAUCUGCACUGAUACGACUCUACGUACACCGAACGUUUGCUUCCAUCUAGAAACGAGAAAUAAAACUACGUUGUGGGUAUGAAGAGGAUAACUUUGCAUGAUAUCAGAGAACUAAAAUAUAAAAAUAGGUGCUGUUAACAUAAAGUUAGAAUAUAUUACUAUAUAUAUUACAAAUAGCAAGUGUGGAAUAAUGAUGGAUCGGUGUGCGGAAUUAUCGGCAAUUGUUAACAAGAUUGGUGGUCGUUAUUGCAAUUUUAUAUGACGGAGAGGCAUAAGCGAACAUACUUUCUCUACUUGGAUCAUAUGCACUUCUCUACUUGGAUCAUAUGCACUUAUGAUUGGAACUCUAGCAAGCAUUCGCAACUACUAAAGAUCAUUAAGGUAAAACCCAACCAUAGCAUUAUAGUAUCAAGUCCCCUUUCUCCCAUACGCAACAACCCCCUUACUCGGGUUUAAACUUCUGUCACUCUAGCAACCCACUAUAAGAGAAUCAUGAACGUAUUGCAACACCAUACAGCGGGAAUCCUUCACGUGUGUGCGGCACGGAAGGCACCAUAGGGCAGCACCAAAAUAAAACAUACAACUCAAACCAAUCUAGAUCAUCAAUCAACCCAAAGACAAAAGAAAUUUACCUAGAACAUCAUAGGAUGGCAACACAUCAUUGGAUCAUAAUAUGUGGCAUAAAGCACCAUGUUCAAGUAGGGAAUUACAGCGGGGUGCGCGAGAGUGGACCGCGUAAAAGAGAUGAGGAAGGUGAUGAAGAUGGUAAUGUUGAUGAAGACGAUCACCGCGGCGAUGGUUCCCCUGGCGGCACUCCGGCGCCACUGAGAGAGAGGGGGAGAGAGUCUCCCCCUUGUGCUUCCUCCUCCAUGGCCUCCCCCCUAGAUGGGGAGAGGUUCUCCCUCUGGUCCUUGGCCUCCAUGGUGAUGAUGGACCCCUCCGGCUUCCUUCCAUGGACUCCGGUGAUGAUGGCUCCUUCCGGUAGGGUGCCGGAGAGGGCCUAGAUUGAUUUUUCAUGGCUACAGAGGCUUGCGGCGGUGGAACUUCCGAUCUAGGUUUCUUUCUGGGGGUUUUGGUAUUUAUAGGAAUUUUUGGCGUCGGUCUCACGUCAAGGGGGUCCACGAGGCAGCGGCAAGACAGGGGAGCGCGCCCUCCACCCUUGCCGCUUCCUCGUGAAGCUUCUGGUCCAACUCUUGUGCUUCGGGGUUCUCUUUUGGUCCAUAAAAAUCACCGUAAAUUUUCAGCCCAUUCCGAGAACUUUUAUUUCUGCACAAAAAAUGACACCAAGGCAGUUCUGCUGAAAAAAAGUCAGUCCGGGUUAGUUCUAAUCAAAUCAUACCAAAAUCAUACAAAGUUGUUGUAAACAUGGCAUGAAUACUUCAUAAAUUGUAGAUACGUCAGAGACGUAUCAGCAUCCCCAAGCUUAAUUCCUACUCAUCCUCGAGUAGGUAAAUGAUAAAAAAAUAAUUUAUGAAGUGUGAAUGCUAGCAUAGUGCAUAAGUUUGAUCAUGAUAAUUUCAAUUACUUUUUCUAGCAUCAUUAUAUAUCAUAAAUAGUAGCUCAUCUCAUAAAACUUCUCAUGAUCAAGUAGCAAGCUAUUCACAAAUUAAAGUAUAGACCAUAAAGUUUCUUGAAAACUAACAAACCAUGUUCUUAGUCAUCAAACAAUUACAAUUCAUCUUAUUUUCAGUAAGGGUCUAUGUAAGAGCUUUGAUUUAGCAAAUUCCACAUACUCAACUAUCAUAUAGUCUUCCAUGAUUGCUAACACUCAAAGCAUAUUUUUAGGACAAAUAGCAUCCGUCGAACACAGAGAAAGAUAGGGGCUUAAUGUUUCGCCUCCCAACUUAUUUAUCAUAUAGAUAAUUGUCAACAAUAAUAAUUCAUGAUCAAAUAUAUUUGAAUGGCAAUAUAUGCUUGGAUCUUUCCCCACCACAUGAUGCUUGUCAACUAAAGAAUAAUUGAGGUUGAAAUAAGAAGGAAAACUAUUGACUCUUGCAUAAAAGUAAAUACAUGAAAGUAAAAGAUAGGCCCUUCACAGAGGGAAGCAGAGGUUGUCAUGCACUUUUUAAUUUUGGAUGUGCAAACUCUUCAUGCAAAGGAACGUCACGUUGUAUUGCCCUUUGUGAUAGCAACCUUUAUUAUGCAGUCCAUCGCUUUUAUUUGUUUACCAUCACAAGUUCGUACAAUGCUUAUUUUCCCUUACAAUAAAGGAUCAUACAUAUUUAGGAGAAAUUUUUAUUGCUUUUUGCACCGAUGACAACUUACUUGAAGGAUCUUAUUCAAUCCAUAGGUAGAUAUGGCGGACACUCAUGGCAUGAAACGGGGUUUAAGGGUUUUGGAUGCACACGUAGUAUCUCUACUUAAUACAAAAUUUUGGCUAGCAAAAGAUCCUAAGAACGCACCACAUGUUAGAGGAUCCAUAACAAUAUAAGUUCUAUGCAAAUAUACCCAAACAUAACUCAUUAUGUUGUCUUCCUUGUCUAAUUUCAACUAAUUUUCUCAAGUUUCAAAAUAAUUAAUGGGGCUCACAAUCAUAGAAUAUGUCCAAGAUAGUAUAUUUAUAUCUGAAAUCUCUCUUCGUUCAAUAUUCUUUCAUGAAUUGUUCAAGUGACCAAUGUUGUGUUUGCUAACUUUCAAUAAAGUUUACCACCUAUACUUCUUAUAUGUGAAGUCAUUACUCCCAAUGGGAUAAGAAUAUGAAACAUAUAUAAUUUCAUAUUUAUCAUAUUUAAUUCAUUCAACCAUUUACUCAUAGAAUAUAAGUGAAGCAGGAGAGUAAAUGACAAACUACUUCAAAAGGAUAUAAGUGAAGAUCAAUGAGUAGUCAAAUAAUUAACUAGCCAUGGGAGGACUCUCUCGCAUUCAAGAUUUCAGAUCCAAUGAUUUUAUCCAAACAGCAAGUAAAAUGAAAAUACGCUCCAAGCAAAACACAUAUCAUGUGAUGAAUAAAAAUAUAGCUCCGAGUAAGGUAUACCGAUAGUUUUGAAGACGAAAGAGGGGAUGCCUUCCGGGGCAUCCCCAAGCUUAGGCGCUUGAGUCUUCCUUGAAUAUUACCUUGGGGUGCCUUGGGCAUCCCCAAGCUUAUGGUCUUUCCACUCCUUAUUCUCCUCGUAUCGAUAUCUCACCCAAAACUUGAAAACUUCAAUCGCACAAACCUUACCGGAACUUCGUGAGAUGGGUUAGUAUGAUAAAGAGCAAGUCAUUCACUUUGGUACUGUCAAGACAAGAUUCAUAAUUGUUCUCACACAAUGCCUAUUGUACCUUAUAAUUUCUACAAUUUAUAUUGAGCAAUAUAAGUCAUAGAAACUAGAAAACAAGCAAACUAUGCAUUGAAAACAGAAUCUGUCAAGAACAGAACAGUCUGUAAUGAUCUGAACAACAACCUUACUUCUGUUACUACCAAAAUUCUGAAAAAUUAGGACAACCUAGGAAAUUUGUAUAUCAAUCUUGUGUAAAACAUUCAGAUAAAAAGCACUCUUCUCUGAUUUUUCAAAAUUAUUUUACUGGGUGCAAAAGUUUCUGUUUUUCAGUAAAAUCAAAUUAACUAUCACCGUAAGCCAUCCCGAAGGUCUUACUUGGCCCAAACACCAAUUAAAACAUCAAAACAAAAUUACUACAGAGGUAAUAAUGUGUAUUUAUAAAACAGAACCAAAAACAUAAAAAUAAAAUUGGGUUGCCUCCCAACAAGCGCUAUUGUUUAACGCCACUAGCUAGGCAUGAUAUUUUAAUGAUACUCUUCCAAGCCCAAUUUCGAUGAUAGUCUUAUUCAUACUCCAAAAGAUAUAAGUGAAGUUCAUGAAGCAUUCUACAAUUAAUAUAGAUUUACCAACAUCCAAGCUCAAAAUGUAUAAGUGAAGCACACGAAGCAUUCUAUAAAGUCAUACUCAAAAGAUUUAAGUGAAGCACAAAGAGCAUUCUAUAAAGCCAUACUCAAAAGAUUUAAGUGAAGCACACGAAACAUAAAUCAAUGAAGGACUAUCUCAUACUAGCAUGGUGCAUAAAGAAAAAAAAAAGGAAAAAUAAACUCAAAAGACACAUAUCAUGUGAACAAAACAAAAACCCAGGUAUACCGAUAAUUGUUGAGGAAUAAAGAUGGGAUGCCAACCGGGGCAUCCCCAAGCUUAGAUGCUUGAGUAUCCUUGAAAUAUUUACUUGUGGUGCCUUGGGCAUCCCCAAGCUUGAACUCUUGCCUCUCCUUAUUCUUCUCCUAUCGAUAACUCCUCGAUCUUCGAACACUUCAUCCACACAAAACUUAACAAAAAACCUUGUGAGAUCCGUUAGUAUAAUAAAGCAAAUCACUACUUUUAGGUACUGUUGUAAACUCAUUCCAAUUUCAUAUUAGCAUUAUAUCUACUGUAUUCCAACUUCACCAUGGUUCAUACCCCCCGAUACAACUCAUAGAUUCAUCAAAAUAAGCGAACAACACAUAGAAAACAGAAUCUGUCAAAAACAGGACAGUCUGUAGCAAUCUGGAAACUUCAUAUACUUAUGUAACUCCAAAAAUUCUGAAAAAUUAGGAAAAAGUAAACAAUUUGUAUAACAGUACCGUGUAAAAAUUUCAGAAACUUUUUAUGUUCCAGUAAAAAAAAUGUAAAUUCACGCACUACAGGCAAAGUUUCUAUUUUUGCACUGCACAUAGAAAACAAGCAAUCUAGUAAUCCCUCUGGUCCUUGGCCUCCAUGGUGAUGAUGGCCCCCUCCGGCUUCCUCCUCCAUGGCCUCCGGUGAUGAUGGCCCGCUCCGGCAGGGUGCCGGAGAGGGCCUAGAUAGAUUUUUCGUGGCUACAAAGGCUUGCGGCGGCGAAACUUCUGAUCUAGCUAGGUUUCUUUCUGGGGGUUUUGGUAUUUAUAGGAAUUUUUGGCGUUGGUCUCAUGUCAAGGGGGUCCACGAGGCAGCGGCAAGACAGGGGGCGCGCCCUCCACCCUUGUCGCUUCCUCGUGAAGCUUCUGGUCCAACUCUUGUGCAUCGGGGUUCUCUUUUGGUCCAUAAAAAAUCACCGUAAAUUUUCAGCCCAUUCUGAGAACUUCUAUUUACACAUAAAAAACGAGACCACGGUAGUUCUGCUGAAAACAACGUCAGUCCGGGUUAGUUCUAAUCAAAUUAUAUCAAAAUCAUAUAAAAUUGUUGUAAACAUGGCAUGAAUACUUCAUAAAUUAUAGAUACGCCGGAGACGUAUCACUUCCCCUUGUGGCGCCCCCUCGCCCUCCCUCCAACCUAUAUAUACUAGAGGUUUUUGGCACUUUUGAAAACACAAGUUUUGGAGCCUCCUCUAGUUCUCUAGUUCCAGUUCUAGUUGGUCCUAGCUGAUCAAUUAGAUUCAUACCUAGAACCUCUAAUACUCAUAAUUAGAAGCCCACUAUGGUUGCAAUCUCCUGCCUCUAAUUCUCCAGUGAUGAUUAGCCUUGGACGGCGAAGGGCUGCCGGAUCAUGAAGACCGUACACUUGCAACUCGUAGAGAGGCUGUGCUUUCGGUCUUCUGUUCGAGGGAUUGUUCGUGGGCGGUUCAUGGGAUCGUUCAUCUACGGUUCAAGGGACUCCGAGUAUGAUCUACACCGACUCGUCUACAUUUGCUGCAACUCGGAAUCGGUAACGAUCUGAUCCUAACCGUUCAUCGCUUUUUCAUAGUGUUCCUGGUUGAUCGUAGGGCGAUUUUUUGUUUUUAUUACGUUUCUCAAUAGAUAAGGGCAACAUGUUUAAUAUGUAUUCAUUUUAUGAGUUAUCCAGGAGAGCCUUCUUAUCAUAUCGUACCCCGAUGCAUUUGCCUCUUAGUGCAUACACCACGAUGUGGCGUGACAUGAGACGAAAAAUCCCUCUUCUUGUUCUUCAUGUGAAAGCUCUCUGUCGCUCCUUCGCAUGGUUAUGUCAGUUUAAUAGGGGUCCUAGAGAGCUUAUUGGGAAGACAAUCAUCAACGUUGGAUACCCAGGGUUUAGCUCCAUAAAGAACCUCACACAAAUGGGUGGCUAGAGGCGUGUUUUGAGAUGUGAGCCCAACCUUUGAGCGUUGCCGUUUAGACAAACCGUGUAUUUUGGGAUCUCUGCCCAAACAACUUAAGAACAACAUAUUUUAUGAAUGAUCCGCAAAGGGGCAAUAAACAAAUGCAACCAACAACUUAGGAGAACUAUUUGAAGGAUGUUUGUUAUGAAUUGUCUACAAGUGUUUUGGGGAACGUAGUAAUAAUUCAAAAUUUUCCUACGUGUCACCAAGAUCAAUCAAGGAGAUGCUAGCAACGAGAGAGAGGGACUGCAUCUUCAUACCCUUGAAGAUCGCUAAGCGGAAGCGUUACAAGAAUGCGGUUGAUGGAGUCGUACUCGCGGCGAUUCAAAUCACUGAAGAUCCGAUCCAAGCGCCGAACGGACGGCGCCUCCGCGUUCAACACACGUACAGCCCGGGGACGUCUCCUCCUACUUGAUCCAGCAAGGGGAGAGGAGAAGUUGAGGGAGAGCUCUGGCAGCACGACGGCGUGGUGGUGGAGCUUGUGGUUCUCCGGCAGAGCUUCGCUGCGCUCAACGGAGGAGGAGGAGUUGGAGGGGGGAGGGCUGCACCAGGGGAAGGGUGCGGCUGCCCUCCCACCCCCUCACUAUUUAUAGGGGGAAGGGAAGAGGGGCCCGGCCCCCUAGAUGCAUCUAGAGGGGGGGCAGGGGGGGAGACUCGCCCCCCAAGCAGGUGGGAGGCGCCCCUGUUGGGAAUCGUAGCAUAAUUUAAAAUUUUCCUACGCUCACCAAGAUGCAUCUAUGGAGUCUACUAGCAACGAGGGGAAAGGAGUGCAUCUACAUACCCUUGUAGAUCGCGAGCGGAAGCGUUCCAAUGAACGUGGAUGACGGAGUCGUACUCGCCGUGAUCCAAAUCACCGAUGACCGAGUGCCGAACAUACGGCACCUCCGCGUUCAACACAUGUACGGUGCAGCGACGUCUCCUCCUUCUUGAUCCAGCAAGGGGGGAGGAGAGGUUGAUGGAGAUCCAACAGCACGACGGCGUGGUGGUGGAUGUAGUGGCUCUCCGGCAGGGCUUCGCAAGCUUCUGCGAGAGAGAGAGAGAGGUGUUGCAUGGGAGGAGGGAGGCGCCCAAGGCUUAGAUGUUGCUGCCCUCCCUUCCCCCCACUAUAUAUAGGGCCAAGGGAGAGGGGGGGCGCAGCCUUGCCCCUUCCUCCAAGGAAGGGUGCGGCCAGGGGGGAGUCCUUCCCCCCCAAGGCACCUCGGAGGUGCCUUCCCCCUUUAGGACUCUCCCUUUUUUCUUAUCUCUUGCGCAUGGGCCUCUUGGGGCUGGUGCCCUUGGCCCAUAUAGGCCAAGGCGCACCCCUUACAGCCCAUGUGGCCCCCCGGGGCUGGUGGACCCCCGGACCCCUUUUGGCACUCCCGGUACAAUACCGAUAAAGCGCGAAACUUUUCCGGCGACCAAAAUAAGACUUCCCAUAUAUAAAUCUUUACCUCCGGACCAUUCCGGAACCUCUCGUGACGUCCGGGAUCUCAUCCGGGACUCCGAACAACUUUCGGGUUUCCGCAUACAUAUAUCUCUACAACCCUAGCGUCACCGGACCUUAAGUGUGUAGACCCUACGGGUUCGGGAGACAUGCAGACAUGACCGAGAAGCCUCUCCGGUCAAUAACCAACAGCGGGAUCUGGAUACCCAUGUUGGCUCCCACAUGCUCCACGAUGAUCUCAUCGGAUGAACCACGGUGUCGAGGAUUCAAUCAAUCCGUAUGCAAUUCCCUUUGUCAAUCGGUAUGUUACUUGCCCGAGAUUCGAUCGUCGGUAUCCCAAUACCUAGUUCAAUCUUGUUACCGGCAAGUCUCUUUACUCGUACCGCAAUGCAUGAUCCCGUGAUUAACGCCUUAGUCACAUUGAGCUCAUUAUGAUGAUGCAUUACCGAGUGGGCCCAGAGAUACCUCUCCGUCACACGGAGUGACAAAUCCCAGUCUCGAUCCGUGCCAACCCAACAGACACUUUCGGAGAUACCCGUAAUGCACCUUUAUAGUCACCCAGUUACGUUGUGACGUUUGGCACACCCAAAGCACUCCUACGGUAUCCGGGAGUUGCACGAUCUCAUGGUCUAAGGAAAAGAUACUUGACAUUGGAAAAGCUCUAGCAAACGAAACUACACGAUCUUUUAUGCUAUGCUUAGGAUUGGGUCUUGUCCAUCACAUCAUUCUCCUAAUGAUGUGAUCCCGUUAUCAAUGACAUCCAAUGUCCAUAGUCAGGAAACCAUGACUAUCUGUUGAUCAACGAGCUAGUCAACUAGAGGCUUACUAGGGACAGGUUGUGGUCUAUGUAUUCACACAUGUAUUACGAUUUCCGGACAAUACAAUUAUAGCAUGAAUAAUAGACAAUUACCAUGAACAAAGAAAUAUAAUAAUAACCAUUUAUUAUUGCCUCUAGGGCAUAUUUCCAACAACCCCCACACCCUAGGGUUUCCAACCCUAGGCGCCUUGGGCCCUUGGGGGGGAGGGCGCGCACCAGCCCACUAGGGGGCUGGUUCCCACCCUUAGCCCAUUUGGUACCCCAGGGUAGGUGGCCCCACCCGGUGAACCCCCGGACACCUUCCGAUGGUCCCGGUACAAUAUCGAUAACCCCCGAAACCUUCCGGCGACUGAAACUGGACUUCCCAUAUAUAAAUCUUCACCUAUGGACCAUUCCGGAACUCCUCGUGACAUCCGGGAUCUCAUCUGGGACUCCGAACAACCUUCGGUAACCACACACAAUUUUCCAUUACAACUCUAGCGUCACCGAACCUUAAGUGUGUAGACCCUAUGGGUUCGGGAACCAUGCAGACAUGACUGAUACGUCUCCAACGUAUCUAUAAUUUUUCAUUGUUCCAUGCUAUUAUAUUAUCUAUUUUGGAUGUUUAAUGGGAUUUAAUAUGCUCUUUUAUAUUAUUUUUGGGACUAACCUAUUAACCGAAGGCCUAGUGCCAGUUUCUGUUUUUUUGCCUAUUUCAGUGUUUUGCAGAAAAGGAAUACCAAACGGAAUUCAAAUGGAAUGAAACCUUCGCGAUGAUCUUUCUUGGAACGAAAGCAAUCCAGAAGACUUGGAGUUGAAGUCUGGAACUCCGCGAGGUGGCCAUGAGGCAGGAGGGCGCGCCCAGGGGGUAGGCGCGCCCCCCACCCUCGUGGGCCCCAUGUAGCUCCACCGACGUACUUCUUUCGCCUAUAUAUACUCUUAUACCCUAAAAACAUCAGGGGGAGCCACGUAACCACUUUUCCACCGCCGCAACCUUCUGUACCCGUGAGAUCCCAUCUUGGGGCCUUUUCCGGCGCUCUGCCGGAGGGGGAAUCGAUCACGGAGGGCUUUUGCAUCAACACCAUAGCCUCUCCGAUGAUGUGUGAGUAGUUUACCACAGACCUUCGGGUCUAUAGUUAUUAGCUAGAUGGCUUAUUCUCUCUCUUUGAUUCUCAAUACAAAGUUCUCCUCGAUGUUCUUGGAGAUCUAUUCGAUGUAAUACUCUUUUGCGGUGUGUUUGCCGAGAUCCGAUGAAUUGUGGAUUUAUGAUCAAGUUUAUCUAUGAAUAAUAUUUGGUUCUUCUGUGAAUUUUUAUAUGCAUGAUUUGAUAUCUUUGCAAGUCUCUUAAAAUUAUCGAUGUAGUUUGGCGUACUAGAUUGAUCUUUCUUGCAAUGGGAGAAGUGCUUAGCUUUGGGUUCAAUCUUGCGGUGUCCUUUCCCAGUGACAGUAGGGGCAGCAAGGCACGUAUUGUAUUGUUGCCAUCGAGGAUAAAAAGAUGGGGUUUGUAUCAUAUUGCUUGAGUUUAUCCCUCUACAUCAUGUCAUCUUGCUUAAUGCGUUACUUCGUUCUUAUGAACUUAAUAAUCUAGAUACAUGCUGGAUAGCGGUCGAUGUGUGGAGUAAUAGUAGUAGAUGCAGAAUCGUUUCGGUCUACUUGACACGGACGUGAUGCCUAUAUUCAUGAUCAUUGCCUAGAUAUUCUCAUAACUAUGGCUUUUCUAUCAAUUGCUCGGCAGUAAUUUGUUCACCCACCGUAAUAUAUGCUAUCUUGAGAGAAGCCACUAGUGAAACCUAUGGCCCCCGGGUCUAUUUUCCAUCAUAUAAUCGUCUAUUUUACAUCAUAUAAGUUUCCGAUCUACAAUUCUAGUUUCUUAUUAAUUUUAUUUUGCAUUCUUUACUUUCCAAUCUAUACAACAAAAAUACCAAACAUAUUUAUCUUAUUAUCUUUAUCAGAUCUCACUUUUCCGAGUGAUCGUGAAGGGAUUGACAACCCCUUUAUUGCGUUGGUUGCAAGGUUCUUGGUUGUUUGUGCAGGUACUAGGUGACUUGUGUGUUAUCUCCUACUGGAUUGAUACCUUGGUUCUCAAAAACCGAGGGAAAUACUUACACUACUUUGCUGCAUCACCCUUUCCUCUUAAGGGAAAACCAACACAUGCUCAAGAGGUAGCAAGAAGGAUUUCUGGCGCCGUUGCCGGGGAGAUCUACGCUCAAGUCAAGACAUACCAAGUACCCAUCACAAACUCUUCUCCCUCGCAUUACAUUAUUUGCCAUUCGCCUCUCGUUUUCCUCUCCCCCACUUCUAAAAUGAUUUUCAAAAACCUUUGCCUUUUCUUCGCCUCUUUUCGCUUGCCUCUUGUGUGUCCGUGUGUUAGAUCGUUUGUUUUGCCGUCAUGGCUAGCCCUUUUUCCCUUCCUUUGUCUCCCGAUUUUGAAGUUCUUAACUUCAAACAAAGACAAGGAGAAAACUUAAAAGAUGCUUGGUAUAUGAUGAUAGAAUCCCAUUGUAGUUGCACUAUAGAGGAAGAUUUCAAGAUUUUACUUCGUAAUUUUUAUGUUGGGCUAACCAUAUCCCAUAGACAACUCUUGGAUUUUGCCGCUAAAGGGAUAUUGAAAUUGAUCCCAGUACUGCUUAUGAGAUUAUAGAGGGAAUAGUAGGAGUACUACCUCCACAAAAGGGACUACAUCUUACUCAAUAAGGAACCCAAGUUUUAGAGAAAUUAUGCGAAUUGCAAAAAUCUAUUGAACCUCUUAAAAAUGUUGGCGGGAACCUUCACCGUAUGAAUACGUUGAUCACCCUUUGCAAUAAGCGGUUGGAUGCUCUAGAUCUAAAAAUCUCCGAGCAUGAAGGGAAACGUAAGGAACCUCCCAGAUCCGAUCAUAACUCCAUUAAAAAAAUAAAUACCAAAGAUGGUAAUACUUAGAUCUAUUCUUGUUUUUAUGCCUAGCUAGGGGCGUUAAACGAUAUCACUUGUUGGGAGGCAACCCAAUUUUAUUUUUGUUCUUUGCUUUUUGCUCCUGUUUAGUAAUAAAUAAUUCAUCUAGCCUCUGGUUAGAUGUGGUUUUGUGUUUCAAUUAGUGUUUGUGCCAAGUAAUACUUUUAGGAUAGCCUACGGUGAUAGUUAAUUUGAUCUUGCUGAAAAGCAGAAACUUUUGCGCGCAUGAUUUUUUUUCAUAAAUCACAAAAACAUGCUUUUCAGUUGGUUAUUUUUGCAGAAGAUUAAUAAACAAAUUUCGUAGGACUUCCUAAUUUCUCAGGAUUUUUAGAGUUACAGAAGUAUUCAAAAGUUACAGAUUACUACAGACUGUUCUGUUUUUGACAUAUUCUGUUUUUCGUAUGCUGUUCGCUUAUUUUGAUGAAUCUAUGAGUAGUAUCGGGGGGUAUGAACCAUAGAGAAGUUGGAAUACAGUAGGUUUAACACCAAUCUCUACUCCUAAUGGAUGAGUUGGUUGAAUAGUAUCCACUGUUUAUUUUUGUCCCAUCACUUUCGUCUGGUUUUUUUCGUUGGUUUUUUUUUCGUCUCCUCCCACACCCCACCCACCCCAGCCACCCAAAAAAAACCCCACACCCCACACAAAAAAAAGCUUCUCUCGAUCCCAUCUGGAUCUCAUCGAAAGAAGAGCUUCGUUGCCGGUGUCGACGCACGGGAGAACUUCCUUGCCGCCUCCGACGUACGAUCUGCCACGAUCUCGUUCGAUCUACCUGCUGCCGAUGUACGAGAUCGCCGACAUCGAGAUACGGGAUCGCCGCCGACGUACGAUCUGCCGUCUCUCGCUGCCGCCGUGGUACGAUCUGCCGUCUCUCGCUGCCGCCGUGGUACGAUCUGCCGUCUCUCCCAGAGGAGGCGCCACCGCGGACGUCCGGGAUCACCGCCGCUGACCUGCCAGAGGAGUCGCCGCCUCCAAUCUCCUAGAGGAGCCGCCGCCGCCGACGACCUUCAAGGGAAGACGCCGCCGCCACCUGCGCUGAACCCCAGGGCAGGGUGCGACGAGCGUCGCAAGGAGUACUUGCCGGCCGUACACAGGUAUUCUGAACCUUACCAUCCGAUUCUCAUCAUUCACAAAUGUGUUCAGAUAGUUGUUGCUUGUGUCGUUCUUGUUACUAGAGGAGGGCUCCACUGUGGCCAUUGGCCACUCUGCUGCAAGCUCAACGCUACAGUUUGACAGGGCCAAGGUGGUAGUAGACGAUGACGAAUAUGGCGCCCUGGCUGUCUCUGUUCAUGAGAUUCCCCCAUGGUGGCCGAAUUUGUAUCACACCAGGCUGCUCCCUCGUAUUGUAAAUCAGAGCUAGCUUAUAUUCAUCCAUUGGUCAUGGCUGACUCCAAAGGCAACACUCCUCCAGUCCUGUGCGUGAUGGCAAAGCUAUGCUACAUGAUAUUAUCAGGUUAUCAUAUUACUCACGAAGUCACUAGGCCAGCUUUUGUUGUACUUUUUCUUCAUUUUUGUUCAGAUUUAUUUCAUGCCCCAAUGUUCUGUUAUGUGCAGCUAUGAGAUUUUAUUUGAAGAACCAUGCAAAGCAAUUUGAGAUGAUGCAUAUAAAGCAUAUUCGAUUUAUUAAGUGUUUUUAAGUAUUCAAUUUAUUAAGAGUUCACUCAUCAUUGCCGACCGUACACAGGUAUUCUGAACCUUACCAUCCGAUUUUCAGAAUAAGAGUUGUUUGUAUAAUUCAUGGUGGUUAAAACAGCAGCAUUUGUAGAAUUCCCCUUUGUCCAUGUUGUACCUACAAUUUACUACUAUAUCUGUAGUGCUACUUCAUUUGAAUUUUGUAACCAAAAGAAAUGCAGGCGAGCGAUUCAAGGUUAUUGUUCGAAGUGGCUAUAAUAUGUGGCUCCAGAGGUGCUGAAGCUGCAAACUUGCCGAGGCCAGCAUAAGGAGUGAUGGAGUUAUCUUCUACUUUUAUUUGUUCAUGUUGUCUCAACAAACUGAUUUGUGUUUAUGGUGACUUUUUUAUCUGUCCAUGGAUCAGAGAGGAUGGAUGAUGCAGUGGCCACAUCAAGCGCCCUGUGCUCGACGACAAUGGAAAUGCAGUUUCUCAGAGCUAGCAGGAAGGAGGCUGAUGGCUUCCCGUUGUAGUAACGCGAUGCAGAAGAGACAACACACCAGGUUCUAUUUCUUGUUUUUUGAAGAUCACACUAGGUUAUAUGUGAACAAAAUCUGAACUGUAAUUUUUGAUGUUUGAGAUGUCUAUAAGUGUACAAAUAGAAAGGCGCCAAUUAAUUGAUCAUCAAAUUCAGAAUAGUACGUGUGCAGUAGCUUCUAUCUCAAUUUGGUUUUUAUGUUGUUUGUGUUUGAAUUAAUUAGCACCCCAUACCAUCGUGUUUCUUCAGCCUACAAGGUGAUUAGCACUCAGCAAACUAUUGGAAAGAUGUUGGUACCUUGUUUUUUUUCAAACUCGACAUGCACAUGCAAGAAUAGGUAUGGCUACAUGCUUUCUAUAUCUAUCAGGUUCAUAAAGCAUUUUGGAGAGGUGCAUCUUGUUGGAGAGGUCUGGUAUGCAUAUUUAAUAUUGAAGAAAACAAAAGUUUUUGAUAUAAUAAAGAUUGAUGAAAAUUUGGACUUGACUCUACCAGGGACAAUUUUCAUGCUAAAUUAUACGAAGUUUGUAUCUUGGGGACAUCUUCAUGCCGACUUACGUUUAAUAUUGGGAUAUGUCCCCUCAUGUGCCAGUUUUGAGAUUUUGUUAGAAGUACAUGAUCUAUUCUUAGUUCCUGCAUGUUUUUUCACCUUUCUGUAGAUUUGAGUAUAACUUAAAGUUCUAGAUGCAUAUAAGCUUGUGAGUUAACAAAAGGUCACUUGAUGGUUCUAACUAAAUUCUGCAAAAAUAUGACCAUCACGGGAUGCCUGCACCAACAACUUUAUAAACUCAACUACGUUUUGCUAGAUGACUCAAAUUUUAGAACGCGGGCAUUAUUUUUUGGGAAUGCAGUUAGCAAUAGAAUCAAGUCAAGCUGAAAACAAGAGAUCGAUUGUUCGAUAUUGAAUUUAAUUCCUUUCUUGCAAAAGCACCUUAUGAGUGAGGAGAUUAUUCAAUAUUGUAUUUUAUUCCUUUCUUCUACCCACUGUUCUAUACUGCAAGCUUGCACCUGAUCAGGUUUCUAACUCAAUUCAUUUUUGUUAGAUCCGUCGAUGAAGAAAACAACACAUUUCACGAUAUGAUGAUUGGUACUUCAAGUUUUGUUGUACUUUGUCAUUUGCCUUUGUGGGAACGACACUGCUCUAUUGCUUGCUUAUUUAAGAUCAUGGUAAUCAUUUUUUUCUAGCCUAUGUGUAUUCUAAUUUUCUUCCCUUUAUUUUUGCAGGUUUGAGUGCAGCUUUCAGAUAACUUUCUUUCCUUGGGAUAGUUGGAAUACUAUGACUAGAUAUACAAUGGUAAUGUUAUCAGUGUUAGGCCCUUCCAUGAUUUCUGUGUAGCAUGUCUAGACUAUCAGCGGUAAUUUGAGCCUCUUACUAAAUGGAGGGGCUCUGAUUUUGUAAUAAAAAGAAAUGAAACAUAUUUAACUGGGAAGCGAACUCAACAAGACAAUAGUAUAAUCCUUCCCCUUUCAGAUUAUUCCUAUUUGCUUAUGCAUGUCGUUGUAUAGAUUGUUUGACUUCUCGAAGAAAUGAACCCCAACCUCAAAUGUUGUGUCACCAUUGAGGACAUCUAGCUGCUUGUUGUUCUUUAGUUACUGUUGCUCUUAAGAUUAAUGUGUUAGAUAUUCUUAGGAUAGAAAUUUUAUGGAAUUUAAUGAUCAUUCAUUUAAAAAAAUAUACAUGAUAUUUCCUGUAAAAGGUUGCCUUCCAAUUUAUGGCCUGCUAUUAAAGGGGAGUUACUAGGUCAUUUCCAUAACCUCGAUCGAUCCUAACCUCCUCUAUUUUUUAUUUUUAACCUUGCAGCGAUUCCUGACUCCCACCGAUUUUCUAGGAACAGAUGCCCAUCCUCCCAUGUCUGGUUUUUAGUUUGUUAUGGAAUAUUAACUAUUAUCUAUACUCCUAAAGGGGAGUUUGCGGCGGUGAUGGUAUGGUUUGAUUUAGUUCGUUUCGUUCCUCUGAAUGAAGGAUAUCGAUCGAUAUUUUCCAAACAUAACCCAUCUCCUUUUUGGUCUUUCCUACCGAUUUCCUGCCAAAAAGAACGCCUGGAAAAUCAGCCCACACUACCAAAAUUAUUUCCCCUAGCUUCUCCUAAUCGUUCUGGAGCGGCGACACACAGUGGUGAUGGUGAGCUAUGUAGGUCAGCGCCUCCUCUCAUCUCUCUGCCCGGGAGCCCUGGCCUCUCCUUUCUGUGUGUGCAAGUGAUGGCAGCGGGGGAUCUGUCGUGGUUUUGUCACGGCAGAUGUCCUAGUGAAAGGACUUAGUCGUGGAGCCAUCGCGAUGGGUUAGCUUAAAGGAGUUAAAGCGGACAAAGGACGCAGAGAGUUUUAUACUGGUUCGGCCCCUUGCGGUGAUGGUAAAGGCCUAAUCCAGUUGUUGUGGAAUUGCUAGGGUUUCUAUGACCAGGGAGCGAAUCCGCUAUGCCUGGCUCUCGAGUUGUUGUUUGUUGUUCCUAAACCGCUGCCGGGUCGUCCCUUUAUAUACAUAGGUUGACGCCCGUCGGUUUACAGAAUCCGGAGGCCGGCUCAUAAACGUGUCCGGCUCGGUUUCUGCUCUUUCUAUCUUACAACACAAAUUUACAUAUCAAUGACGGUUUAUGUCUAUUGGCUUUAAUCCGGCUUUGGGCCCUGGGCCUUUGUAAAGCGCCACACUCCUUGUCUUCAUGUGCUUCAAAUAUAAAUAACUCGUUAUGGGGAUAACCCGGCCUCUCCUGGCCGGUUUAUACCCAGUAGUAAUAUCCCCAACAGGAUCCGGGGAACGCGGGCCGGUGGCGGACGGGAAUGGGGACCAGUGGCAGCAGGGAAUGAGAUCUGGUCGCAGUCUACUCCCUCCCUCUCUCUCUCUCUCUCUCUACCCGGUGCUGGUGUCGCCGAUGCAGUACCAAGUCAGGGUGAUCUUAGCCUUCUUCAAGGUGUCAGACAGAACUGAAGAAGAUGACGGUGCCAUCAGAGACUUUGUGAUGCAAACGAAUCAUCUCUGUAACUUUGUGAUACAAUAUAAACUUUACAAUAUAGUUGGUUUCCUAUGCAAUAUAAACUUGACAUCUUCGUCUUUUUUUAUUUAUAUACAAGGGAUGGUGACUAUGUUAUUGUCAAUGGUGGUCUGACCUAUGACCCAUUUGACAUUGGUUAGCUACAUUUUAAUCUUACUUUAUAUGAAUUCUUGUCAGGCUUGUAAACAACUACAAUGAUAUUACACAUCACUUUCUGUACUACAUUUAUGUGCAUUUGGAUCUCGCCAAGGCUAAGGUACUGUGAUUCAAGCUUUUCUUUCUAGGAUUUUAUUUUGUACAAACUGAAGAUAUCUAUGAUUUCUGAAGAUGCUUUCAUUUCUUUGGAUCUUUUAUUGUUGGUAGAAAUCUGCGUCGCAGCCCCAACUAAUGCAUCAACUUGGAACCAAGGUCCACCCUCUAAUAAUCAGGUAGUUUGAGGAAGCAUAUGAUCAUCUUACUACUAUAGAUCCUCAACAACCUCUGCAUCUGGGAAUGCUGUCAGGAAAGGGUUAUCUGAUAUGGUCAUGAAUGUUGAUUUAACUUGAAUACUUGCAUAUAUGCCACAUGUCACGUGUCAGCAUAUUUGAUCUAAUAUGAUAUUUGAUUUAACUGUAAAUGACUGUUUUUUCACACAAUUGCAGCAUAUAUGCCGCAUGUCAGCCUCAUGGGGAUCAAACAGAUGAGGAGAAGGAGGCAGCAAGGAAGAAGGUAGAGGAGAUGGACACCUGAUCUGCAAGUUCCUGAAUUUCAACGUUUAUUGCGUGUUGCUGUGUUAAUAUUGGGUGCAGCAAUUCCACAACUCUGGGAAGAGCUUCUGCUGGAGGGCGUCACCUGCGGCAUCACCUGCAUCGACCUCUCGCUGAUUACCAUCCCAAGGAUGCGCGACCGACUGGCGGAGCAGGGCACCAGUGAGAAGUUCACCAAUUUGGUUGACUCACCGUUCCCUUCCUCUGUCCACGCAAUGCCGCUCGUUGUUGUUAGGUCGUUAAUUCAUCAGACCCCUUAUUGCGCUACAUAGUUUGUUCAUCUCGCAUGCCUUUUUAGGAGAAAUCAUGUACCGAAGAUAAGCUAUUCUUUAUUUACAUUUUAUUUAUUUCUUCCUGCUACUUGUACGAUUUGCUUUGGAAAUCUUCUGACUACUUGCAUGAAUUUUAGUUCCUACUUGUACAGUUGCCUGCAUUUUGUGUUUGAGAAACAUCUGCUGAUUAAGUGUAAAAUAAUACUUGCAAGUUCUGUUUGUUGACUGCGCCAUGAUAAGCUUUAGGCCUUCAGCUGUACAAAACUGCUAAAGUAGGUGACAACCACCUGCAGCUCAAUCCUUGUUUUUCUCAACAUUGGCAAGGUAAAGUAAAUGUGGAGCCAAGAUCGAUUGUUGUAAGCCUUUUACUGACUAUGAGCAAGGGGAUCUAGAGAGGAGCACUGCAAUAUGAGAAUGCCCUUCGUUAGCUCUGAUUUUCCCUUUUUGUAACACUAGCUUAGAGAGAUUUUCCCUUUAUGUUUUAGAAAUGUUAACAUUGUACUGCUUAUUUGUAAUGAUGAUGAUCUAAUUUCACAUGAUGAUCAUGGAAAAGCAGCAGCUCACAUCGUACUCUCUCUAUGAUUAGCUUGUCCUUUGUUAACCUGAAGAAGCAAGCUUAAAAUUCUUAACACAGAUGUUCCUAAAAUAACAAGAUGAAAUCUUGAUUUUUCUUGUUAUGACAAGAAGGAAUCAUAAUUGACUUACUGUAUAAUUGUCAUCAAUCCAACCCUACUUUCUGAUUUAUUAUUGUUUGAAUAUGUGAAUAAAUUUACUUUUGGUCCAUUUCCUAACUUGCUAAUUGCCUUCUUACAGCUCACGGUGGAUCUGUGUAUGAAAAUAUGAUCGGGCAUAAACAUGAAAGAACUCGGAACUAAACUGUAAUUCAUGUGUGCAUUGAGCUAAACUAAUUUUUAGACGUUGCAACAAGUUGUAAAACUGAGAUUAAUGCUUUAAAUUUAUAUCCAAUUACUUAGUAAGAACUACGAGUAGGUUACUUGAAGUGUCCAUCAGUAGUAUUUUGUAGGUACAACAGUUUAAUUGAGUCUAUCAUUGACAUGAGAUUUUGUGGGAUGUCCACUUGUCCCAUAAAAAAAUAUGUGGACACAUGCAUGCCUCCCACUUAUAUUAUGCGACAGUUGUGGAUGGGGGUAGGGGUUAGUCUGUUUAGUUAUGUCUGAGCGGAAUAAUUUCCCUACUCAAGAAAACGUGGCAACUUAUGUUUCAUUAGAGAUGGCUUUGUAGCAAAUUGCAUGAUCGAGUGAUUCAUAUUUUUUCCAUCAAGUCGUAUAAUUUGUUUGGUUAGGAUAGAAAGGUAAAUGCAUUGGUUGGUUGCUUCAAGGGUUAAUAACGGACAUAGCGGAACGUGGCAAUGGGUGUGGAGACAUCGAAUAUGUGUUCUUGGCUCGGGCGCAUCAUGGUUGGCGCACGCCUCCUCCCCCUUGAUGAAGGCCGGAGGAUCGACACAAACACGUGGAGAGGGGAUCAUGGUGGAGAGUGAGCGGUUGGCGGGGGACUCCUCGGCGGUCCGUGGGGAAGUACCGUGAAAAGGAGAGAGGACGCCAUGGUGAAGGUGAGGUGGAGGUCAUCCAGUUUUAAAAGGAGCGGGCUCCAGUGAGAAAUGUCCUACUACGGUGGGAAACGGAGCGGGAAGGGAUGGGUCAGGUAGGAAAAGAGAAGAUGCGUCGUAGGGUGGGGUUUUUGUGUUGGGACAUUCAUUUGUCGUUUGGGAUAAUUUCCCUUAUAAAGAAACAAAAGAGUCAAAGAAAGCAUAGAAAAUGUUUCCCGUCUGAACAACCAUGUAUUUCUUCAUGUAUGGUCUGGAUUUGGGGCAGUCCGGACGGUUGGAUUUUGGAGAAUCCGUUGGGUGCUCAUUUGAUGUCCGAACACAUCCGGACGUAUGAGGGAUAAAUGAGUUUCGGUGUCCGAACACGUCCGGAUGUAUGAGGGAUAAAUGAGUUUCGGCUUUGGAGACAACGUUUAUCAUUUGUUUCCUUCAUUUAUAUGUAUUAUAGCCCGUAGCAAUGCACAUGCAUUCUACUAGUAUAAAUAAAGCAUGAGUUCAUUACAGUACCUUAAAGUGGUGGUUUAUUUUCUUAUACUAACGGAGCUCAUGAGAUUUUCUGUUGAAGUUUUGUGUUGUGAAGUUUUCAAGUUUUUGGGUAAAGAUUUGAUGGAUUUUGGAAUAAGGAGUGGCAAGAGCCUAAGCUUGGGGAUGCCCAAGGCACCCCAAGGUAAAAUUCAAGGACAACCAAAAGCCUAAGCUUGGUGAUGCCCCGGAAGGCAUCCCCUCUUUCGUCUCCAUCUAUCGGUAACUUUACUUGAGGCUAUAUUUUUAUUCACCACAUGAUAUGUGUUUUGCUUGGAGCGUCUUGUAUGAUUUGAGUCUUUGCUUUUUAGUUUACCACAAUCAUCCUUGCUGUACACAUCUUUUGGGAGAGACACACAUGAAUCGGAAUUUAUUAGUAUACUCUAUGUGCUUCACUUAUAUCUUUUGAGCUAGAUAAUUUUGCUCUAGUGCUUCACUUAUAUCUUUUUAGAGCACGGUGGUGGUUUUAUUUUAUAGAAAUUAUUGAUCUCUCAUGCUUCACUUAUAUUAUUUUGAGAGUCUUUUAGAAUAGCAUGGUAAUUUGCUUUGGUUAUAAAAUUAGUCCUAAUAUGAUGGGCAUUCAAGAUGGGUAUAAUAAAAACUUUCAUAUAGAGUGCAUUGAAUACUAUGAGAAGUUUGAUACUUGAUGAUUGUUUUGAGAUAUGAAGAUGGUGAUAUUAGAGUCGUGCUAGUUGAGUAAUUGUGAAAUUGAGAAAUACUUGUGUUGAGGUUCGCAAGUCCCGUAGCAUGCACGUAUGGUAACCGUUGUGUGACAAAUUUGAAGCAUGAUGUGUUUCUUUGAUUGCCUUCCUUAUGAGUGGCGGUCGGGGACGAGCGAUGGUCUUUUCCUACCAAUCUAUCCCCCUAGGAGCAUGCGCGUAGUGCUUAGUUUUGAUGACUUGCAGAUUUUUGCAAUAAGUAUGUGAGUUCUUUAUGACUAAUGUUGAGUCCGUGGAUUAUACGCACUCUCACCCUUCCACCAUUGCUAGCCUCUCUUGUGCCGCGCAACUUUCGCCGGUACCAUAAACCCAUCAUUCACCUUCCUCAAAACAGCCACCAUACCUACCUAUUAUGGCAUUUCCAUAGCCAUUCCGAGAUAUAUUGCCAUGCAACUUUCCACCGUUCCGUUUAUUAUGACACGCUUCAUCAUAGUCAUAUUGCUUUGCAUGAUCAUGUAGUUGACAUCGUAUUUGUGGCAUGACCACCAUUCAUAAUUUUUUCAUACAUGUCACUCUUGAUUCAUUGCACAUCCCGGUACACCGUCGGAGGCAUUCACAUAGAGUCAUAUUUUGUUCUAAGUAUCGAGUUGUAAUUCUUGAGUUGUAAGUAAAUAAAAGUGUGAUGAUCUUCAUUAUUAGAGCAUUGUCCCAUGUGAGGAAAGGAUGAUGGAGACUAUGAUUCCCCCACAAGUCGGGAUGAGACUCCGGACAAAAAAAAGAGGCCACAAAAAGAAGGAGAAGGCCCAAAUAAAAAAAUGACGAGAGAAAAAGAGAGAAGGGACAAUGUUACUAUCCUUUUACCACACUUGUGCUUCAAAGUAGCACCAUGAUCUUCAUGAUAGAGAGUCUCUUAUGUUGUCACUUUCAUAUACUAGUGGGAAUUUUUCAUUAUAGAACUUGGCUUGUAUAUUCCAAUGAUGGGCUUCCUCAAAUUGCCCUAGGUCUUCAUGAGCAAGAAAGUUGGAUGCACACCCACUUACUUUCUUUUGUUGAGCUUUCAUACACUUAUAGCUCUAGUGCAUCCGUUGCAUGGCAAUCCCUACUCACUCACAUUAAUACCUAUUGAUGGGCAUGCAUCUCCACAGCCCAUUGAUACGCCUAGUUGAUGUGAGACUAUCUUCUCCUUUUUGUCUUCUCCACAACCACCAUUCUAUUCCACCUAUAGUGCUAUGUCCAUGGCUCGCGCUCAUAUAUUGCGUGAAAGUUGAAUAAAGUUUGAGAAUACUAAAGUAUGAAAAAAUUGCUUGGCUUGUCAUCGGGGUUGUGCAUGAUUGGAGCAUUUUAUGUGAAGAAGAUCGAGCAUAGCCAAACUAUAUGAUUUUGUAGGGAUGAUCUUUCUUUGGCUAUGUUAUUUUGAGAAGACAUAAUUGCUUGGUUAGUAUACUUGAAGUAUUAUUAUUUUUAUGUCAAUAUUAAACUUUUGUCUUGAAUCUUUCGGAUCUGAGCAUUCAUGCCACAAUAAAGGAAAUUACAUUGAAAAAUAUGUUAGGUAGCAUUCCACAUCAAAAAUUCUAUUUUUAUCAUUUACCUACUCGAGGACGAGCAGGAAUUACGCUUGGGGAUGCUUGAUACGUCUCCAACGUAUCUAUAGUUUUUGAUUAUUCCAUGCUAUUAUAUUAUCUGUUUUGGAUGUUUAAUGGGCUUUAAUAUGCUCUUUUAUACUAAUUUUAGGACUAACCUAUUAACCGAAGGCCCAGGGCCAGUUUCUGUUUUUUUGCCUAUUUCAAUGUUUUGCAGAAAAGGAAUACCAAACAGAAUCCAAACGGAAUGAAACCUUCGCGAUGAUCUUUAUUGGAACGAAAGCAAUCCAGAAGACUUGGAGUUGAAGUCUGGAACUCCGCGAGGCGGCCACGAGGCAGGAGGGCGCACCCCACCCUCGUGAGCCCCACGGAGCUCCACCGACGUACUUCUUUCGCCUAUAUAUACUCUUAUACCCUAAAAACAUCAGGGGAGCCACGAAACCACUUUUCCACCACCGCAACCUUCUGUACCCGUGAGAUCCCAUCUUGGGGCCUUUUCCGGCGCUCUACCGGAGGGGGAAUCGAUCACGGAGGGCUUUUGCAUCAACACCAUAGCCUCUUCGAUGAUGUGUGAGUAGUUAUUAGCUAGAUGGCUUCUUCUCUCUAUUUGAUUCUCAAUACAAAGUUCUCCUCGAUGUUCUUGGAGAUCUAUUCGAUGUAAUACUCUUUUGCGGUGUGUUUGCUGAGAUCCGAUGAAUUAUGGAUUUAUGAUCAAGUUUAUCUAUGAAUAAUAUUUGGUUCAUCUCUGAAUUCUUAUAUGGUUGAUUUGAUAUCUUUGCAAGUCUCUUCGAAUUAUCGGUUUAGUUUGGCCUACUAGAUUGAUCUUUCUUGCAAUGGGAGAAGUGCUUAGCUUUGGGUUCAAUCUUGCGGUGUCCUUUCCCAGUGACAGUAGGGGCAGCAAGGCACGUAUUGUAUUGUUUCCAUCGAGGAUAAAAAGAUGGGGUUUAUAUCAUAUUGCUUGAGUUUAUCCCUCUACAUCAUGUCAUCUUGCUUAAUGCGUUACUCUGUUCUUAUGAACUUAAUACUCUAGAUGCAUGCUGGAUAGCGGUCGAUGUGUGGAGUAAUAGUAGUAGAUGCAGAAUCGUUUCAGUCUACUUGACACGGACGUGAUGCCUAUAUUCAUGAUCAUUGCCUAGAUAUUCUCAUAACUAUGCGCUUUUCUAUCAAUUGCUCGACAGUAAUUUGUUCACCCACCGUAAUAUAUGCUAUCUUGAGAGAAGCCACUAGUGAAACCUAUGGCCCCCGGGUCUAUUUUCCAUCAUAUAAUCUUCUAUUUUACAUCAUAUAAGUUUCCGAUCUACAAUUCUAGCUUCCUAUUUAUUUUAUUUUGCAAUCUUUACUUUCCAAUCUAUACAACAAAAAUACCAAAAAUAUUUAUCUUAUUAUCUUUAUCAGAUCUCACUUUUGCGAGUGACCGUGAAGGGAUUGACAACACCUUUAUCGCGUUGGUUGCAAGGUUCUGGAUUGUUUGUGCAGGUACUAGGUGACUUGCGUGUUAUCUCCUACUGGAUUGAUACCAUGGUUCUCAAAACUGAGGGGAAAUACUUACGCUACUUUGCUGCAUCACCCUUUCCUCUUCAAGGGAAAACCAAUGCAUGCUCAAGAGGUAGCAAUGACCGAGACACCUCUCCGGCCAAUAACCAAUAGCGGGAUCUGGAUACCCAUACUGGCUCCCACAUGUUCCACGAUGAUCUCAUCGGAUGAACCACGAUGUCGGGGAUUCAAUCAAUCCCGUAUACAAUUCCCUUUCUCCAUCGGUAUGUUACUUGCCCGACAUUCGAUCAUCGGUAUCCAGAUACGUUGUUCAAUCUCGUUACCGGCAAGUCUCUUUACUCAUUCCGUAACACAUGACCCCAUGACUAACUCCUUUAGUCACAUUGACCUCAUUAUGAUGAUGCAUUACCGAGUGGGCCCAGAGUACCUCUCUAUCAUACGGAGUGACAAAUCCCAGUCUCGAUUCGUGCCAACCCAACAGACACUUUCGGAGAUACUUGUAGUGCACCUUUAUAGUCACCCAGUUACGUUGCGACUUUGAUACACCCAAAGCAUUCCCACGGUAUCCGGGAGUUGCACAAUCUCAUGGUCUAAGGAAAAGAUACUUGACAUUAGAAAAGCUCUAGCAAACGAACUACUCGAUCUUGUGCUGUGCUUAGGAUUGGGUCUUGUCCAUCACAUCAUUCUCCUAAUGAUGUGAUCCCGUUAUCAAUGACAUCCAAUGUCCAUGGUCAGGAAACCAUAACCAUCUAUUGAUCAACGAGCUAGUCAACUAGAGGCUCACUAGGGACAUGUUGUGGUCUAUGUAUUCACACAUGUAUUACGGUUUUCGGUUAAUACAAUUAUAGCAUGAACAAUAGACAAUUAUCAUGAACACGGAAAUAUAAUAAUAACCAUUUUAUUAUUGCCUCUAGGGCAUAUUUCCAACAGUCUCCCACUUGCACUAGAGUCAAUAAUCUAGUUACAUUAUGAUGAAUCGAACACCCAUAGAGUUCUGCUGUUGAUCAUGUUUUGCUCGUGAAAGAGGUUUAGUCAACAGAUCCGCGACAUUCAAAUCCGUAUGUACUUUACAAAUAUCUAUGUCUCCAUCCUGAAUAUAUUCACGAAUGGAGUUGAAGCAUCGCUUGAUGUGCUUGGUCUUCUUGUGAAACCUGGGCUCCUUGGCAAUGGCAAUAGCUCCAGUGUUGUCAUAGAAGAGAGUCAUCGGUCCUGACGCAUUAGGAAUCACUCGUAGGUCAGUGAUAAACUCCUUCAUCCAGACUCCUUCCUGCGCUGCUUCCGAAGAAGCUAUACCCCGCUUCACAUGUAGAUCCCGCCAUGACGCUUUGCUUGCAAUUGCACUAGCUGACUACCCCACCAUUCAAAAUAUACAUGUAUCCGGUUUGUGACUUGGAGUCAUCCAGAUCUGUGUCAAAGCUAGCAUCGACGUAACCCUUUAUGACGAGCUCUUUGGCACCUCCAUAAACGAGAAACACAUCCGUAGUCCUUUUCAGGUACUUUAGGAUAUUCUUGACUGCUGUCCAGUGUUGCAUACUGGGAUCACUUUGGUACCUCCCUACCAAACUUAUGGCAAGGUUCACAUCAGGUCUGGUACACAGCAUGUCAUACAUAAUAGAGCCUAUGGCUGAGGCAUAGGGGAUGACACUCAUCUUUUCUCUUUCUUCUGCCGAGGUCGGGCGUUGAGCUAUGCUCAAUCUCACACCUUGCAAUACAGGCAAGAACCCCUUCUUGGAAUGAUCCGUAUUGAACUUCUUCAAUAUCUUGUCAAGGUAUGUGCUUUGUGAAAGACCAAUGAGGCGUCUCGAUCUAUCUCUAUAGAUCUUGAUGCCUAAUAUGUAAGCAGCUUCUCCAAGGUCCUUCAUAGAAAAACACUUAUUCAAGUAUGCCUUUAUGCUUUCCAAAAGUUCUAUAUCAUUUCCCAUCAAUAGUAUGUCAUCCACAUAUAAUAUGAGAAAUGCUACAUAGUUCCCACUCACUUUCUUGUAAAUACAGGCUUCUCCAUAAGUCUGUAUAAACCCAAACGCCUUGAUCAUUUCAUCAAAGCGAAUGUUCCAACUCCGAGAUGCUUACAUCAGCCCAUAGAUGGAGCGCUGGAGCUUGCAUACAUUGUCAGCAUUCUUAGGAUCGACAAAACCUUCCAGCUGCAUCAUAUACAAUUCUUCCUUAAGGAAAUCGUUAAGGAAUGCCGUUUGCCAGAUCUCAUAAUCAUAGAGUGCGGCAAUUGCUAACAUGAUUCGGACGGACUUCAGCUUCGCUACGGGUGAGAAGGUCUCAUCGUAGUCAACCCCUUGAACUUGUCGAUAACCCUUAGCAACAAGUCGAGCCUUAUAGACGGUCACAUUACCAUCCGCGUCAGUCUUCUUCUUAAAGAUCCACUUAUUUUCUAUGCCUUGCCGAUCAUCGGGCAAGUCCACCAAAGUCCAUACUUUGUUCUCAUACAUGGAUCCUAUCUCGGAUUUCAUGGCUUCAAGCCAUUUGUUGGAAUCCGGGCCCGCCAUCGCUUCUUCAUAGUUCGAAGGUUCCCCAUUGUCUAACAACAUGAUUUCCAGGACAGGGUUGCCGUACCACUCUGGUGCGGAACGUGUCCUCGUGGACCUACGAAGUUCAGUAGCAACUUAAUCCGAAAUUUCAUGAUCAUCAUCAUUAACUUCCUCUCUAGUCGGUGCGGGCACCACAUAAACAUUUUCCUGAGCUGUGCUACUUUCCGGUUCAAGAGGGGGUACCUCAUCAAGUUCUACUUUCCUCCCACUUACUUCUUUCGAGAGAAACUCUUUCUCCAGAAAGGAUCCAUUCUUGGCAACAAAGAUCUUGCCUUCGGAUCUGAGGUAGAAGGUAUACCCAAUAGUUUCCUUAGGGUAUCCUAUGAAGACGCAUUUUUCCGAUUUGGGUUCGAGCUUUUCAGGUUGAAGUUUCUUGACAUACGCAUUGCAUCCCCAAACUUUCAGAAAUGACAGCUUAGGUUUCUUCCCAAACCAUAAUUCAUACGGUGUCGUCUCAACGGAUUUAGGCGGUGCCCUAUUUAAAGUGAAUGCGGCAGUCUCUAAAGCAUAACCCCAAAAUGAUAGCGGUAGAUCGGUAAGAGACAUCAUAGAUCGCACCAUAUCCAAUAGAGUGCGAUUACGAUGUUCGGAUACACCAUUACGCUGAGGUGUUCCAGGCGCCGUGAGUUGUGAAACAAUUCCACAUUUCCUUAAGUGCAUGCCAAACCCGUGACUUAAAUAUUCUCCUCCACGAUCUGAUCAUAAGAAUUUUAUUUUCAUGUCAUGUUGAUUCUCUACCUCGCUCUGAAAUUACUUGAACUUUUCAAAGGUCUCAGACUUGUGUUUCAUUAAGUAGACAUACCCAUAUCUACUUAAGUCAUCAGUGAGGGUGAGAACAUAACGAUAGCCACCGCGAGCCUCAACGCUCAUUGGACCGCACACAUCAGUAUGUAUUAUUUCCAACAAGUUGGUAGCUCACUCCAUUGUUCCGGAGAACGGAGUCUUGGUCAUUUUUCCCAUGAGGCAUGGUUCGCACGUGUCAAAUGAUUCAUAAUCAAGAGACUCCAAAAGUCCAUCUGCAUGGAGUUUCUUCAUGCGUUUGACACCAAUAUGACCAAGGCGGCAGUGCCACAAGUAUGUGGGACUAUCAUUAUCAACCUUACAUCUUCUGGCAUUCCAACUAUGAAUAUGUGUAACAUCACGUUCGAGAUUCAGUAAAAAUAAACCAUUGACCAGCGGGGCAUGACCAUAAAACACAUCUCUCAUAUAAAUAGAACAACCAUUAUUCUCGGAUUUAAAUGAGUAGCCAUCUCGCACCAAACGAGAUCCAGAUACAAUGUUCAUGCUCAAAGCUGGUACUAAAUAACAAUUAUUGAGGUUUAAAACUAAUCCCGAAGGUAGAUGUAGAGGUAGCGUGCCGACGGUGAUCACAUCGACCUUGGAACCAUUCUCGACGCGCAUCGUUACCUCGUCCUUCGCUAGUCUCCGCUUAUUCCGCAGCUCCUAUUUUGAGUUACAAAUUUGAGCAACUGCACCGGUAUCAAAUACCCAGGAGCUACUACGAGCGCUGGUAAGGUACACAUCAAUAACAUGUAUAUCAUAUAUACCUUUGGCGUUGCCGGCCUUCUUAUCCGCUAAGUACUUGGGGCAGUUUCGCUUCCAGUGACCAUUUCCCUUGCAAUAAAAGCACGCAGUCUCAGGCUUGGGUCCAUUCUUUGGCUUCUUCCCGGCAACUGAUUUACCGGGCGCGGGAACUCCCUUGCCGUCCUUCUUGAAGUUCUUCUUACCCUUGCCUUUCUUGAAACUAGUGGUCUUAUUCACCAUCAACACUUGAUGUUCCUUUUUGAUCUCCACCUCCGCUGAUUUCAGCAUCGAAUAUAACUCAGGAAUGGACUUCUCUAUCCCUUGCAUAUUGUAGUUCAUCACAAAGCCCUUGUAGCUAGGUGGAAGCGACUGGAGGAUUCUGUCAAUGACCGAGUCAUCUGGAAGAUUAACUCCCAGCUGAGACAAGCGGUUGUGCAACCCAGACAUUUUGAGUAUAUGCUCGCUGACAGAACUGUUUACCUCCAUCUUACAACUGUAGAACUUAUCGGAGACUUCAUAUCUCUCGACCCAGGCAUGAGCUUGGUAAACUAUUUUCAGCUCUUGGAACAUCUCAUAUGCUCCGUGCUGCUCAAAACGCUUUUGGAGCCCUGAUUCUAAGCUGUAAAGCAUGCUGCACUAAACCAGGGAUUAAUCAUCACUACGCGACUGCCAGGCGUUCAUAAUGUCUUGAGUUGCUGGGAAAAUGGGUGCAUCACCUAGCGGUGCUUCAAGGACAUAUGCUUUCUUGGCAGCUAUGAGGAUGAUCCUCAAGUUACGGACCCAGUCCGUAUAGUUGCUUCCAUCGUCUUUCAGCUUGGUUUUCUCUAGGAACGCGUUGAAGUUGAGGGCAACAUUAGCAUGGGCCAUUGGAUCUACAAGAUAGAUUGUAAAGACAAUUUUAGACUAAGUUCAUGAUAAUUAAGUCAUCUAAUCAAAUUAUUUAAUGAACUCCCACUCAGAUAGACAUCCCUCUAGUCAUCUAAGUGAUACAUGAUCCGAAUCGGCUAGGCCGUGUCCGGUCAUCACGUGAGACAAACUAGUCAUCAACGAUGAACAUCUCCAUGUUGAUCGCAUCUUCCAUACGACUCAUGUUCGACCUUUCGGUCUCUCGUGUUCCGAGGCCAUGUCUGUACAUGCCAGGCUCGUCAAGUCAACCUAAGUGUUUCGCAUGUGUAAAUCUGGCUUACACCCGUUGUAUGCGAACGUUAGAAUCUAUCACACCCGAUCAUCACGCGGUGCUUCAAAACAACGAACCUUCGCAACAGUGCAUAGUUAGGGGGAACACAUUUCUUGAAAUUUUAGUGAGGGAUCAUCUUAUUUAUGCUACCGUCUGUUAAGGCAUAUCUCUCUAGAUGUAGUUUUGGUGAUUGAUGACAACAUGUUUGCGGACUAAUCGUGUGCUUUGAGCAUUUUAGAGAUUCAUCAUUUGGCACGAGACGAUUUCUUUCCCCUCGGAGCGUCAUUCAAGACGGUGUAGCUCUUUCGCUUCUUUUCUGGUGAACUAGUUUCGUAGGAGUCAUCGUACUAUCAAGAGGGGGUCCGUUUUGGUAAGGCUAGGGUGGAAUCAACACGUACACAUCCUCUUUGCACCCUCUGAGCCUUUCCGCUUCAUUGGAGGUCUCUUUCCCCCUUCUUUGGGCCGAGUCUGGUCACAGCGGUAGUACUGCGGUACCCAGCGGUAGUACCGUUUAGGGGUCACAGGCGGCAGUACCGCUCCACAGCGGUAGUACCGCCGGUGGGUCCUCAGCAGUAGUACCGCUGCGGUACCACGUCCCUACCGCGUCGACUCGAGGGGUCAUUUUUCGUGUCGGAUUGUGCGGUACUUUGCAGCGGCAGUAGAGCGGCAGUGCCGCUCAUGAGCGGUAGUACCGCCCUACCACCGCGGCAGUACCGCUCGGGUCCGUAUCUCUCCUGCCCUCCUAACUCCGCGGUAGUACCGCCCAGGGGAGCGGCAGUACCGCUGUGCCCAGCGGUAGUACCGCUGUGCCCAGCGGUAGUACCGCUGCCUCCUGCGGUAGUGCCGCUCCUGCGGGGCUGUUUUGGGGGGUAACGCUUGGAUUGUUCCCCCCACUAUAUAAGGGGGUCUUCUUCCCCAAAGUUGACUUACCUCUUCCCCCAAAAAGCUCCAUUGUUCCUCCAAGCUCCAUUUUCGCCCGAUCUCUCUCCCUAGCCAAUCAAACUUGUUGAUUUGCUCGGGAUUGGUUGAGAAGGCCCCGAUCUACACUUCCACCAAGAGAAAUUUGAUUCCCCCACUUAUCCCUAGCGGAUCUUGUUACUCUUGGGUGUUUGAGCACCCUAGACGGUUGAGGUCACCGCGGAGCCAUAGUCCAUUGUGGUGAAGCUUUGUGGUGUCGUUGGGAGCCUCCAAUUAAGUUGUGGACAUUGCCCCAACCUUGUUUGUAAAGGUCCGGUCGCCGCCUUCAAGGGCACCAAUAGUGGAACCACGGCAUCUCGCAUUGUGUGAGGGCGUGAGUAGAAUACGGUGGCCCUAGUGGCUUCUUGGGGAGCAUUGUGCCUCCACACCGCUCCAACGACGUACUUCCCCUCAAAAGGAAGGAACUUCGGUAACACAUCCUCGUCUUCACCGGCUCCACUCUUGGUUAUCUCGUCCCUUUACUUUCGCAAGCUUACUUGUGUUAAAUCCCUUGCUUGCUUGUGUGCUAGUUGUCAUUGCAUCAUAUAGGUUGCUCACUUAGUUGCAUAUCUAGACAACCUACUUUGAUGCAAAGUUUAAAUUGGUAAAGAAAGCUAAAAAUUGUUGUUGCCUAUUCACCCCCCCUCUAGUCAACUAUAUCGAUCCUUUCAAUUGGUAUCAGAGCCUCGUCUCUUUAUUAAGGACUUUACUGUCCGAAGAUUAUGGUUGACGUCGUAGACGGUGUGGAGGAGCAAUCCGGUGUGAAUCCGGUCUCGUCUACGGGAGAUGGGGGAACCGCGGUCUCUCGUGAGGAAUUUAAUGUGGCGUUGGACACAUUAUAAACCUCCAUGACUACCGAGGUCGAAAGCAUGUUUAAUAAAUUCUUAGAAGGGCUUAAACUUUCCACCGCACCGUUGAAUGUGGGUGAUCCCGCCAACAAGGUGACGGAUGCUACCCGCGACAAAGGGGAAGCUACUAGCGAGAAAGCUCCUUCUUCUAGUGGUAAAAAUUGCACUGGCAUCUUUGCCCAUGUGGAACCUCCACUUGUCUAUGGUGGACCGCUCCCUUCCACUCAUUUGAAUCAUGCCGACCCGGCCCCUAAGAUUGAGAAGAAUGUAGAUUUUGAUUCUUGGGUCUAUCAUUUUAAGCGUCAUUUAAAUCAUGUGAACACUAACCUUUGGAGAAUCAUUGAAGAAGGUUUCUAUCCGCAUGACCGAAGUAACUUCACUCCUAGAGAAGUUGUGGAUCAUCAAUUCAAAGAGAAUGCUCUCUUCAUCAUCCAAGAAGCAAUCCCACCCGAAGAUCUUCCUCAUCUCCGGCCCUACACCGUGGCCAAAGAUGCUUGGCUCCAAGUUGUUUCCCUCUAUCGGGGAAGCGCAAGCAUUCAACGCUCCAACUCUGAAGUGGUGCAAGAUGAAGCCGACGAGUUUCCAAUGAAAGAAGAUGAAGAACCUUGUGAGCUUUUUCGGAGAGUAACCAAACUCGCGAUCUCUCUCUGAGAUCAUGGAAGUAAGGACAAGGAUGACAAUUGUAUCAAGCGCAAAUUCCUCAAGGCAAUGAUGCCCUACCACAAAGCCAUGUCCUCCGUCAUUCGUCAAAGGCCAGACUUCCACACCUUGUCCUCAAGUGAAGUGCUGGAUGAGUUUGUUGCCAUGAGCAUCUUGGACAAGACCGCCGACAAUGCGGUUCUUCACUCUCAAAGAUUAAAGAAGCCCAACCUUGCUCUAAAGGCCAAGGUUAGUAUCGAGGAAGAGGAUGAAGAGGAGGAAGAAGAAAGCAACCUCGAAGAUACGAAGUAUGCCUAUCAUGAACACAUGGCUCUUGCUUCAAGGCAAUUUUGGAGCAAGAAGAACACAAGGCCAAACUUCAACAAGAACAAUUCAAGUGGCGCAAAGGGCAAGCAACGAGUGAGGACUUGCUUCAAUUGUGGCAAUGUGAGCCACUUUGUUGCGGAGUGCCCUUACGAGAAGAGGGAAGACAAUGGUGGCAAGAUCAUUCGAAAGGACAAGGCCAAGUCGUUUCCCAACAAGAGCAACUUCACCAAGAAGACUCCUCCCAAGGCAUUGGUGGUACAAGAAGAGUACAAUGAGGAUGAUGACGAUGAUGAAGAUGGUGAGUCGGGUGCCAUGGCCUCCGUUGCCAUUGCGAUGACUCCACGGAUGUCUCUCUUUGACUCACCCAAUGAGAACAUCACCGCCAAAUGCCUCAUGGCUAAAGCCACCAACAAGGUAACCCCCAACAUCAAAACUACAUCCUUCUUUGACGGAUAGCAUUGAUGAACAUGAGGGGACAAAUGUGGAGGAAAAUGAGUUUGAGACCUUUAUGGGUAAACUCAAGGGUAAAUCCAAGAAGCACUUUGUUGCUCUCUUGGAACAACUUGGUGAAGCCAAUGACAUGAUCGAGGCUCACGAAGAUACCAUCUCUAAGAUGGAGGGGCAUAGUCAUGACUAUGCCGAUGAGAUUUCGGAUCUUUCCAAUGCUCUUGACGAAGAGCGUGGUCUUCGUUUGGCUCUUGAGGAGUCAUACAACGAUGAUCAUGCUAAGUUAAAGAAAGAUCUUGAUCAUGCUCUUGUUGUGUCUCGUGUGCUAAACUCCGAGAAGGCAAAGCUUGGGGUUGAUCUUGCUAGACUCAAAGAGGAGUUUGACAUUCUCGACAAGGCUCACAAAGUCUUGAAGGGUGUUCAUGCUAGCCUCAAGGAGUCUCAUGAUCAACUCCAAGUGAAGCUAACUAAGGAGAAAGCCACCUUUCCUCAUAUGGUGUUAAUUUAUAAUGCAAAUGCUACUAACCCUUGUUGUGAGCAUGUGCAUCUUGUUGAGGAGAAUGCUAAGUUGAAGGAGCAUCUUGAGAAAGGCCUUGUGUCAUGCAUACAAGGUGAGAAGAACCUCAACGACCUUUUGAGCAAUCAAAAGGAAGUUGUGGCCAAGGAGGGGAUUGGGUUCGCACCCAAGAACAAGAAGAAGAAUGACAAGACCAAACGACCUCCUCCUCUCAAGCGAACUUUUGUGAAGGAGGGAGAGGGUGCUUCCAAGGAGAAGAAGAACAAUGCGAAGGGUGGCGGUGUCAAGAAGGGCAAUGCCACCCCUUCCAACAAAGCCGGCGACUUUAAUCCUUCUUAUGUGCUAUGCCAUGCUAGUGAUGGGCAUGUUUAUGCCAAAUUUGUUGGUUCUCCUCAUAAGUAUAUUGAAUGGUCUAUUUGGGUUCCUAAGACCCUUGUUACUAACAUCAAAGGACCCAUUACAAAAUGGGUACCUAAAACCAAGCAUUGAUCUCUUGUAGGUGUUUGCUUCCGGUGGGGGAUCAUGGUUGCUCGAUAGUGGAGCUACAAAUCAUAUGACCGGAAGCAAGGACUUGGUGGUGGACGUGCACAAGAUUCCAUCUAUGCCCACCAAUGUCGAGUGGGGUGAUGCCUCGUCAUCUAAGGUAUUGGGAAUCGGCAAAGUAGUCAUUUCUCAUGAUCUCACGAUCGAGAAAGUCAUGCUUGUUGAGUCCCUUGCAUACAAUUUACUUUCCGUUCGUCAACUUGCAAUCAUGGGUUUUGCCACCUUCUUUGAUAUUGAUACCGGGGCCCUCUUGUGGAGCAAGACUCUUAAAGUAGCCUUUGUUGGGCAUGUCGAGAACGGUCUCUAUGUGAUUAAAUUUUCGGAGCGACCCACUAAGACCGCGACAUGCCUAAUGGCUAAAGUUGACGUGGGAUGGCUUUGGCAUCGCCGUUUAGCCCAUGUCAAUAUGAGAUAUUUGCAAAGUCUUAUCAAGGGGGACCAUUUCCGUGGACUAACAAACGUUAGUUUUGCUAAAGAUCGUGCUUGCAGUGCUUGUAUUGAAGGAAAGCUUCAUGAGAAGGCUCACCCUCCCACGACUCUCAUUUACUCGAAGAGGCCGUUGGAGCUCCUUCAUUUGGAUCUCUUUGGGCCUCCAUCCUUUGAUAGUCUUGGGGGUAGAAAAUAUUGCUUGGUGACUGUGGAUGACUAUUCAAGAUACACUUGGGUGUAUUUCUUCAAGAGGAAGAGUGAGACCCAACAAACUGUCAUUGACUUUGCAAAUGAAGCCCAACGUCAACACAAUGCAAAGAUCUUGACAAUAAGAAGUGACAACGGCACUGAGUUCAAGAACUACACCUUGGAUGAGUUUCUUAGUGAUGAGGGGAUCAAGCAUCAAUAUUCCGCACCUUACACCCCUUAACAAAACGGUGUUGCGGAGAGGAAGAACCGAACGUUGAUGGAUGCCGCAAGGACCAUGAUGGCGGAGUUCAAGUCUCCAUACAACUUUUGGGCCUAAGCCAUCAACACCGCGUGUCAUGCAUCCAAUCGGCUCUAUCUCUGCAAGGGCUUGAACAAGACUCCAUAUGAGAUACUCACCGGUAACAAGCCCAACCUCAAGUACUUUCGGGUGUUCGGGUGUAAGUGUUUCAUUCUCAAGAAAGGUGUUCGGUUGUCUAAAUUUGAGGCUAGAGCUUAUGAGGGCAUAUUUGUUGGUUAUGCUACAAACUCUCAUGCUUACCGUGUCCUCAAUAAAUCCACGGGACUUAUUGAGGAGACGUGUAACGUGGAGUUUGAUGAGAAUAACGGCUCCCAAGUGGAGCAAAGUGGCACUUGUGAUGUAGGUGAUGAAAUUCCUCCUCAAGCCAUAAGAAGAAUGGGUGUUGGUUUUAUCCUACCCAUUGAGGAAGCCCUUGUGGCCGAAGGAGAAGGACAAUGCUCCACUCAAGUGGAGCCAUCACCAACCCAAGGCCCACACGCUUCCGAAGAACAAAGUGAAGGCCCUCAACCUCAUGAACAAGACCAAGGGCAAGAUCAUCCUCAAGACGGUGGUGACACACCAAGUGAUUCCCAAGGUCAAGUUCUCUCCUCCGAGCAAGUUCAAGAUCAAGAACAAGCUCAAGACGACGCUCAAGAUGAUCAAGUGACCGCUCCUCAACUCACCACCAAGGAGGAAUUGGAGUGUCGUGCCGCCAAGAUUGCUUCCAAGCUCUCCACCAAGGGUCAUCUCAUGAAGAAUGUGCUUGGAAGCAUUCAAAAGGGGGUAAGCACUCGUAGACAAUUGGCAAACUAUUGUGAACAUCACACGCUUGCCUCUUGUGUAGAACCCCAAAAGGUAUAUGAAGCACUCGAAGAUCCGGAUUGGCUCAAUGCCAUGCAUGAAGAACUCAACAACUUCGAGUACAACAAGGUGUGGAGAUUAGUGCCAAGGCCAACGGGGAACCACAAUGUCAUUGGAACCAAGUGGAUAUUCAAGAACAAGCAAGAUGCUCAUGGGACCAUCAUCCGCAACAAGGCACAAUUGGUGGCACAAGGCUACUCCCAAGUCGAGGGUAUCGACUACGGUGAAACCUUUGCUCCCGUUGCUCGCCUUGAAUCUAUUCGUUUGUUGAUUGCUUAUGCUUCUCAUCACAACUUUAAGUUGCAACAAAUGGAUGUGAAGAGUGCUUUUCUUAAUGGUCCUAUUAAUGAGUUGGUUUAUGUCAAGCAACCCCCCGGGUUCGAGGAUCCCUACUUUCCCGAUCAUGUGUAUCAACUCGAUAAAGCACUCUAUGGCCUUAAGCAAGCCCCACGUGCGUGGUAUGGCCAUCUUACCGAGUUGUUACAAGAUCGUGGGUUUGAAGUUGGGCUAAUCGACCCCACUCUUUUUACUAAGAAGGUCAAAGGGGAGUUGGUUGCGUGCCAAGUUUAUGUUGAUGACAUUAUCUUUGGUUCCCCUAACAAAGCUUUCAAUGAGGAAUUUUCAGCACUCAUGACCUCAAAGUUCAAGAUGUCUUCCAUGGGAGAGUUGAAGUUCUUUCUUGGUUUUGAAGUAAAGCAAAGAAGAGAAGGAACCUUCAUCAACCAAGCCAAAUACACUGAAGACAUGCUCAAGAGAUUCAAGCUAAGUGAUGUCAAGCCGACGUCCACUCCAAUGCCCACCAAGUGCCAACUUGACAUCGAUCCCAAUGGUAAAGCGGUGGAUCAAAAGGUAUAUUGCUCCAUGAUUGGUUCCUUACUUUACCUUUGUGCAUCUAGACCGGAUAUCAUGUUGAGUGUGGGAAUUUGGGCAUGUUUUCAAGCCGCACCUAAGGAAAGCCACUUUGUGGCGGUCAAGCGAAUCUUUUGAUAUUUGGCUCAUACCCCAAACUUUGGCUUAUGGUACCCAAGAGGAUGAAACUUCAAGCUUGUAGGGUAUUCGGACUCCGAUUGGGCGGGAGACAAAGUGGACAGGAAGUCCACUUCCGGAGGGUGCCAAUUCCUUGGUUGCUCUUUGGUAAGUUGGUCUUCUAAAAAGCAAAGUUGUGUGUCUCUCUCGUCCACCGAAGCGGAGUAUGUGGCGGCCGGCAGUUGUUGUGCACAACUCUUAUGGAUGAGGCAAACUUUAAAGGAUUACGGUUUCAUUUGUGACAAAGUGCCUCUUUGGUGUGACAAUGAAAGUGCCAUCAAGAUUUCUCUCAACCCGGUGCAACACUUCAAGAUGAAGCAUAUUGAGAUUCGGUAUCACUUCAUCCGGGAUCAUAUUAGGCGAGGGGAGAUCGAGCUCAACUAUGUCAACACUCAUGAUAACCUUGCAGAUAUUUUCAUGAAGCCGUUGGAUGAAGCAAGAUUUCGCGAGUUAAGGCAUGAGCUAAAUAUCAUUGAUUCGAGCAAUGUUGCUUGAACACUUGCACUCCCCACCAUACUCAACUUGUUAUCUUGUUUGGGUGUAGGCAUGGACAUAGGGGGAGUGUUGUUCUCUUAAUGAACUCUCCCUCCCCUUAUUAUGCAUAAAUUGAUCAACUCUUUCACAUUAGCCAUUUUUUAUGGUACUUGUGCUUCAAAGACGAGUUUUGGUCAUGGGCCCAAGGAUAAUUCUUCACGGUGCCAUACCAAUUGACUCAAACAUAGGUGGCCUCGGCCACCGCCCUCUCUUGAAGAGGUGUGUGUUUCUUGUCCUCUCGCUGGUGUUUUUGUUGCUUUGUGUUUGCUCUCUCUUCUUGCCGCUUGUUUUUCCUUUCUUUUUGAGCUAAGCCUUUUGUGUCUAGUCUUUGGGGUCUUGGCUGGGCGGUACUACCGCUGGUGGUGCGCGUUACUACCGCUUAUGUUGACAAGCGGUACUACCGCCCACCCGAGCGGUACUACCGCUGGGGGGCGGGACCAGGGGGUUAUGUCGGGGCAGGGGGAGGUUUCUCCUCCCCCAUACCCAUUCGCACUGCCCCCUUGUCCCUCUUCCUCUCUCCAGCAUCGCCUCGCCGCGGGAGGGCUCCGGCGGGCCGCCGUCUCCGGGCCAUCCCUCUCCAUUCCCUUUGUUGGAGUCGAUCCCCACCUCGUCCUCUUGCCAUGGAUGCCGGUGAUGAACAUCCUGAGUAGCAAGUCCGCCGUGUCAACCCCGGACGUGCAACUUCAAAGCGCUACCGCACCUCAGAGUCAGUAGGUGCCUCCUCAAGUGCGGCACCUCCGCCUCAGCUCCAGAAGAAACCUGCCAACAGGCCGAAGCCAAGGGGCAAGACUGUGACUGAGUUGUCUGCCAAGGAGUUCUGGGAAAGGCGUCGCCGCAACCCCUAUGCGGAAGACCAAGAACCCAAUUUGGUCAACCGCUCGUUCUGGAACCGCUUUCAGUUUGCCAUCUACUUUGAUGUGAUCAAGGCCAAGAAGAAUCUCUAUGUUGAUGUUCGCUCCAUCGACACGGAUGCCAUGGAAAAGGAUCCUGAAUACUUUGGUGAAGCUCUUCAGAUGUGUGCUCAGCUAAACAUUCUCAGAAUCAUGCAGUUCAACAAGGACUGAUGCAAAUUUGGUGGCUCAAUUCUAUGCCACUGUCCAUCUUGGCACUGAUGAAGAAAGGACUCUGACCUGGAUGACAAAUGGGAAGUUACUGUCUGUCAAGUGGAAGGCCUUCAUGGAGUUACUUGAGGUGGAAGAUCGCGGGCUUGAGACUCCUGUCGGCUUUUGCCCUCACCGCAACGUCAACUCCACUCACAAGCAAGCCCUCUGGCCCUACUGCACUGUGAAGGUUCACCCGGUGACUAAGAAGGAAACCUAUGAGUUGUCUACCUACCUGGACAUCCUUCAUCGUGUCUUUCGAGAGACCCUCUUUCCUCGCAUCGCGAAUCUGGAUAUGGUCCACUCCUAUCUCGUGGAUAUGCUUCUCUUCUGCCAGCAUGAGAAGGAAGCAAACACUGGCGAGUCCCUGGACAUUUCUCAUGUUAUGUGGUCUGAACUUCUCACUGCCGUUUCUGAGCGCAAGUGCCCGAUCUAUGGUCCGUUCAUCAUGCUGCUCAUUGAGAAGGCCUGGGCACGUGUCUAUCCCCAGGUGAUGCUGGAAACUAGAGAUUUGGUCUCUCAUAAGAUCAAGUGUCUCAGGAAGAAGGACAGUUGGGGCACCCCAGCCCCUAAAUCUGGGGGUCCAUCUACUGCUGCUGACAUGGAGACCGAGGACGGGGCUGAGGCCGAUGAUGACGAUGAGGAUUAUGAGCCUUCUGGGACAGAGCCCUCUUGGGCAAAGAAGAUCAAGCGCAAGAUGAAGAAGCUCUUCUGCAUGGAGUCUCGUGGUCAGUACAUGUCUCAUGUGGCCGAGAAGAAGGCCAGGGGCGUCACAAGGAGCUCAUGCGUCAGCUGGGUGCGACCGUUGUCAGUUGGUAUGAGGGCCAGAUCACUGAGGAAGAGGAGUGGAUUCAGCAGCACUGUCCGUGGACCGAUUCCGACACCGAGCAGUUUCCGACUGAGGAUGGCAGUGCAGAUGACCCUGCCAGGAUGUGAUGAGAGAGCUCCUCAGUUUGCUUUCACCUGGAGCCGUAGUGUCGCUCUUUGCCCUUUUGGUGUCUCGAUGCCAAAGGGGGAGAGAGCUUAGGGAUUUGUUGGGACUUGUGCUUUAUGGUGUGCUUUAUGGUGUCGUCGUUUUCUUUGUUGUGUCGUUGUGUUUUCUCGCCAUUUGCCUUGUUUGGUUGUGUGCCAGUGAGACCUAAGUUCCAGAUAUAUGGUGUAAGACAUAUGCUACCUUAUCUUUAUCUAUGUCUUUCUAGUACUUUGGUAUCUCUUAAGUUGCUUGUCUAUCCUGUUAUAUUACCUGCUCUCAUGUAUCCUAUGCUUAGGUUGUUGGACUAUAAAAUAUAGGGGGAGUGUUGAUCCUAAUGUGUGUGUCCUACAUUCCAAAGGCUCUACUAACUAGGUGCACACACUCAGGGGGAGCCCGUCUAUAAUUUGUAGUUCUAAGUAUCUUUACUUUCAUGAUAUAUCCUUGUGCAAAUCCCUGGUUGUCAUCAAUCCACCAAAAAGGGGGAGAUUGUUAAGACAUAUCUCUCUAGAUGUAGUUUUGGUGAUUGAUGACAACAAUGUUUGCGGACUAAUCGUGUGCUUUGAGCAUUUCAGAGAUUCAUCAUUUGGCACGAGACGAUUUCUUUCCCCUCAGAGUGUCAUUCAAGACGGUGUAGCUCUUCCGCUUCUUUUCUGGUGAACUAGUUUCGUAGGAGUCACCGUACUAUCAAGAGGGGGUCCGUUUUGGUAAGGCUAGGGUGGAAUCAACACGUACACAUCCUCUUUGCACCCUCUGAGCCUUUCCUCUUCAUUGGAGGUCUCUUUCCCCCUUCUUUGGGCCGAGUCUGGUAACAGCGGUAGUACCGCGGUACCCAGCGGUAGUACCGCUUAGGGGUCAUAGGCGGCAGUACCGCUCCACAGCGGUAGUACCGCCGGUGGGUCCUCAGCAGUAGUACCGCUGCGGUACCAGGUCCCUACCACGUCGACUCGAGGGGUCAUUUUUCGUGUCGGAUUAUGCGGUACUUUGCAGCGGCAGUAGAGCGGCAGUGCCGCUCAUGAGCGGUAGUACCACCCUACCACCGCGGCAGUACCGCUCGGGUCCGUAUCUCUCCUGCCCUCCUAACUCCGCGGUAGUACCGCCCAGGGGAGUGGCAGUACCGCUGUGCCCAGCGGUAGUACCGCUGCCUCCUGCGGUAGUACCGCUCCUGCGGGGCUGUUUUGGGGGGUAACGGUUGGAUUGUUCCCCCCACUAUAUAAGGAGGUCUUCUUCCCCAAAGUUUACUUACCUCUUCCCCCCAAAAGCUCCAUUGUUGCUCCAAGCUCCAUUUUCGCCCGAUCUCUCUCCCUAUCCAAUCAAACUUGUUGAUUUGCUCGGGAUUGGUUGAGAAGGCCCCGAUCUACACUUCCACCAAGAGAAAUUUGAUUCCCCCCACUUACCCCUAGCGGAUCUUGUUACUCUUGGGUGUUUGAGCACCCUAGACGGUUGAGGUCACCGCAGAGCCAUAGUCCAUUUUGGUGAAGCUUUGUGGUGUCGUUGGGAGCCUCCAAUUAAGUUGUGGAGAUUGCCCCAACCUUGUUUGUAAAGGUCCGGUCGCCGCCUUCAAGGGCACCAAUAGUGGAAUCACGGCAUCUCGCAUUGUGUGAGGGCGUGAGGAGAAUACGGUGGCCCUAGUGGCUUCUUGGGGAGCAUUGUGCCUCCACACCGCUCCAAUGGAGACGUACUUCCCCUCAAAAGGAAGGAACUUCGGUAACACAUCCUCGUCUUCACCGGCUCCACUCUUGGUUAUCUCGUCCCUUUACUUUCGCAAGCUUACUUGUGUUAAAUCCCUUGCUUGCUUGUGUGCUAGUUGUCAUUGCAUCAUAUAGGUUGCUCACUUAGUUGCAUAUCUAGACAACCUACUUUGAUGCAAAGUUUAAAUUGGUAAAGAAAAGCUAAAAAUUGUUAGUUUCCUAUUCACCCCCCUCUAGUCAACUAUAUCGAUCCUUUCACCGUCGUUCUAAGCAAAUAAGAUGUAAACAUGAUAAACAUCACAUGCAAAUCAUAAAGUGAGAUGAUAUGGCCAAUAUCAUCUUGCGCUUUUGAUCUCCAUCUUCGAGGCGCGACAUGAUCACCAUUGUCACCGGCUUGACACCAUGAUCUCCAUCAUCGUGUCUUCAUGAAGUUGUCUCGCCAACUAUUACUUCUACUACUAUGGCUAACGGUUAGCCAUAAAGUAAAGUAAUUACAUGGCGCUUAUAUUGACUCGCAGGUCAUAUAAUAAAUUAAGACAACUCCUAUGGCUCCUGCCGGUUGUCAUACUCAUCGACAUGCAAGUCAUGAUUCCUAUUACAAGAACAUGAUCAAUCUCACACAUCACAUAUAUAAUUCAUCACAUCCUUUUGGCCAUAUGUAACGCCCACGAUGCGGCUAUAUCUCUCACGUGUCGAGGCACGACAUAGAGGCAUAACCGCAUUGUGAUUUUGUCGCAAGAAGGGUCAUCUUCACACAAUCCCAUGUAAUCAACAAGAAUGGGAUAAAGAGUUGGCUUACAAUUGCCACUUCACACAAUACAUAAAUAAAUCAUACAUCAAUCAGAGUACACACAUAGGUCCGACUACGGAACCAAAAUAAAAGAAGACAACCCCAAAUGCUAGAUCCCCGAUCGUCCCAACUGGGCUCCACUACUGAUCACCAGGAAAUGAAACAUAGUAACGACCAAGUUCUUCAUCGAGCUCUCACUUGAGCUGGGUAGCAUCGUCUGCACUGGUAUCAUCGGCACCUGCAACUGUUUUGGAAGAAUCUGUGAGUCCCGAGGACUCAGCAAUCUCACACCAGCGAGAUCAGGACUAUUUAAGCUUAAGGGUAGGAAAGGGAUAGUGAGGUGGAGCUGCAGCAAUCACUAAGCAUAUAUGGUGGCUAACAUACGCAAAUAAGAGCGAGAAGAGGAGCAACGGAACGGUCGUCAACUAGUAAUGAUCAAGAAGUGAUCCUGAACUCCUACUUACGUCAACCAUAACCCAAAAACCGUGUUCACUUUCCGGACUCCGCCGAAAAGAGACCAUCACGGCUACACACGCGGUUGAUGCAUUUUAAUUAAGUCGAGUGUCAAGUUCUCUACAACCGGAUAUUAACAAAUUCCCAUCUGCCACAUAACCGCGGGCACGGCUCUCAAAAGUUUAUACCCUGCAGGGGUGUCCCAACUUAGCCCAUUAUAAGCUCUCAUGGUCAACGAAGGAUAAACCUUCUCCCGGGAAGACCCGACCAGUCUCGAAAACCCGGUUACAAGACAUUUUGACAAUGGUAAAACAAGACCAGCAAAGCCUCCCGAAUGUGCCGACAAAUCCCAAUAGGAGCUGCACAUAUCUCGUUCUCAGGGCACACCGGAUUGUCCAAGCUUCCGAUAGGCGAGCCCAGAGUUGCCCCUGGUGGCCACCGGCGACUGACAGGUUGGACCAACACUCAGAGGAGCACUGGCCCGGGGGUUUAAAAUAAAGAUGACCCUUGAGUCUGCAGAACCCAAGGGAAAAAGGCUUAGGUAGGCAAAUGGUAAAACCAAGGUUGGGCCUUGCUGGAGGAGUUUUAUUCAAAGCGAACUGUCAAGGGGGUCCCAUAAAUCACCCAACCGCGUAAGGAACGCAAAAUCAAGGAACAUAACACCGGUAUGACGGAAACUAGGGCGACAAGAGUGGAACAAAACACCAGGCAUAAGGCCGAGCCUUCCACCCUUUACCAAGUAUAUAGAUGCAUUAAUAAUAUAAGAGAUAUUGUGAUAUCCCAACAUAAACAUAAUCCAACAUGGAGCAAUCUUCAUCUUCACCUGCAACUAGCAACGCUAUAAGAGGGGCUGAGCAAAAGCGGUAACAUAGCCAAACAAUGGUUUGCUAGGAAGGGUGACAAAGGUUAGAGGUGGUUUCAUGGCAAUUUGGGAGGCAUGAUAUAGCAAGGGGUAGGUAGCGCGGCAUAGUAAUAGAGCGAACAACUAGCAAGCAAAGAUAGAAGUGAUUUCGAGGGUAUGGUCAUCUUGCCUGAGAUCCCGCAAGGAAGAAGAACGAGCCCAUGAAGAAGACAAACGGACGUAGUCGAACGGAUCCUCACAACUCCGGAACGAAACCGAAGCUAACGAGAGGAGCAAACCCGGAAAGAAACAAACAACAUAGUAAACAACCACGACAUACACAUGGCAUGAUGCAUGUCCGGUUUAAUGAGGCAUGGCCUGGCAAAGUGCAACAAACAACACUACAAAUUAAGUGGAGCUCAAUAUGCAACGAGUUGCAUAUUGACGAAACACCACAUCAAUUAUUUAGUUCUCUCUCGGUUAUGUACCCAACAAUAUUAAAUGUUGAUUAACAUGGCAAGAGGUGAAGCAUAAGUAAACUAACUAUUUAGGCAAGUUUAAAUGAGACCGGAACAACAAACAACAAUUCCGGAAAAACCCCAUAUGCAUAUUUCGAAUUUGCUACUGUUCUGCCAUAAACACAAUUUUAAUGUUGUUAAACAUGCAAGAUGAGUGCACCAUGUUAAACUAGGCAUUUUCCUACCCCAUUUACAUAUAAAGUUUAUUUAAAUCCGAGUUACGGUUAAUUAGUUAUGAAAUAAAUCAUUUUAACAUGGCAUUCGAGCAAAUUUAAACACACAGCAUUUUAAACAUGGAUGAGAGUGGCAUAUUAUGAAACUAGAUGAAAUUCUAGACAUUUUUCAUAUAAGAAGUAUUUUAAUCUGAUGCACGGUUUAUGAGAUAUUAUAUGCAUGAACAUGAGGGGUUUUUCUGUAAAACUGCACUCUCUGGAAUAAAUAGGAAAUUCGCUGAUCUAGGAAAAAACGUACGCGGGCCGAAUCUGGCUGGCCCGACAGUGUACGGGAGAGGGACUGGAGGGGGCUGCUCACAUUGGGCCUUGAGGCCGAAUCUGGAGCUGGGCCAGGGGCGCUGGGAUGAGGCAGCCCACGCAGUAGGACGACGCGUCCACGGCACGGUGAGCGGGCGGUCAACGCGGGCUUGACCCGAUGGCUGGCGCUGGUCUCGCUCGAUGCAGAGGAAGCAGACAGGGGAACUUGGCGCUGGCGUCUCCCGACGAUGGCCGGCAGCGAGCGGAGCUUGGCAAGGCGGCGACCGAGGCGGCGAACUGGAGGAGGUGCUCGGGCGGCUCGGCGGCUUGGCGAGGGGAGAGGUCAACGCGGGCGUGCGGGCGCACUCGAUCCCGAAUUGCUGCUCGAAGCAGGGGAAGCAGUGGCCGCGGCAGGCGAACUUGGCGGCAGCAGCAGGUCCAGGAGGGGUCGUCGGGGCUUGGCCGCGAGGCUCCGGUGACGCGGGAGGGACUUGAAGCGCAGGGGCGGCGAGCUCGAGCAGACCCGACAGGUGGUGCUGCUCGGCGGUCAUCGGACAGAGCAGGACAACGGCAGUGGCGACAUGGGCACGGGGCGGCGGACUUGGACGGCAGGAGGAAGAUCCGGGCGCGCGGAGCAUGGAUCCAUCCAUCCCCGGCACGAAACGACGACGGAGCUUGAAGCAGCGGCCAUGGUGGUCUCCUGUGAGCGAAAACAGAGAGAGGGAGGGGGAGAUCGUGAGAAAGAGAGGUGGAGAAGCAGAAGGGGAAAAAGAGCGGGGCUGUCGGGGCACUCAUCUCCGGCGAUGUUCCGGUCGCCGGUGUCGACCGGCCGACGAGGCGGGGUCGAGGGUGAUGGGGAGCUGCGGGAGGAGCUCGGGCAGAGGCAGGUGCUCGAGGAGGGAUCGAGCGGGAGGAGCUCGGGGCCUCGGUUGCGGGAUUGGGUGAAACGAGGGAAGGAGGUGGUUGGCCCGAUCGGGAAAUCAAGGGAGAGAGGGUGGAUCUGGAGGGAUCCCGAGGUGGGAGAUGCUGGCGGUGGCGGGAUGGGACUGAUGGGACAAGCCUCCUAAAGAUUAGGGUUGGUCUAGUUAUAUAGGUAGGGGAUUAGGGUAGGGGUUAAUCCGGUCCGUCCAAUUAGAAUCGGGCGUUCGUAAAUAAAUAGGUUAGGUAGCCCGAAUAAUAAAACGGAGAUGUUUUAUAGAUGUUAGGAGAUGAUCUAAAUGCAACGGUGAUGACUGAGCGGGUCGGGUUCGGGACAGGUUUCGGACGCACGCGAGAAGGGGUUUUGACGAAAGGCCAAUGAAGACAAAGCGGUCAGUGAGAGGGUGACGAAGGCAAAGGAAGAAACGACAACGACGAACGAAUGCAAGUUUUAAAACAUGACGGCAACGGAGUGCCGAUGCAAUGCAAAUGAUGACAUGAUGAAAUGCAACAAACAAAUAAAUACACACAAUGAUAAUGAAAAAUAUGGAAGCCGUCUCGAGCGUCGGUCUCGGGGCGUUACACCAUAUCACAUCACAUAGUAUACCCUGCAAAAACAAGUUAGACAUCCUCUAAUUGUUGUUGCAUGUUUUACGUGGCUGCUAUGGGUUUCUAGCAAGAACAUUUCUUACCUAUGCAAAAGCCACAACGGUGAUAUGCCAAUUGCUAUUUACCCUUCAUAAGGACCCUCUUCAUCGAAUCCGAUCCGACUAAAGUGGGAGAGACAGACACCCGCUAGCCACCUUAUGCAACAAGUGCAUGUCAGUCGAUGGAACCUGUCUCACAUAAGUGUACGUGUAAGGUCGGUCCGGGUCACUUCAUCCCACAAUGCCGCCGAAUCAAGAUAAGACUAGUAACAGUAAGCAAAUUGACCAAAUCAUCGCCCACAACUACUUGCGUUCUACUCGUGCAUAGAAUCUACACAUAGACCUAGCUCAUGAUGCCACUUUUGGGGAACGUAGUAAUAAUUCAAAAUUUUCCUACGUGUCACCAAGAUCAAUCUAGAAGAUGCUAGCAACGAGAGAGAGAGUGAGUGCAUCUUCAUACCCUUGAAGAUCGCUAAGCGGAAGCAUUACAAGAACGCGGUUGAUGGAGUCGUACUCGCGGCGAUUCAAAUCGCGGAAGAUCCGAUCCAAGCGCCGAACGGACGGCGCCUCCGCGUUCAACACACGUACAGCCCGGGGAUGUCUCCUCCUACUUGAUCCAGCAAGGGGAGAGGAGAAGUUGAGGGAGAGCUCUGGCAAUACGACGGCGUGGUGGUGGAGCUUGUGGUUCUCCGGCAGAGCUUCGCGGCGCUAACGGAGGAGGAUGAGGAGUUGGAGGGGGGAGGGCUGCGCCAGGGGAAGGGUGCGGCUGCCCUCCCACCCCUUCACUAUUUAUAGGGGGAAGGGAAGAGGGGGCCGGCCCCCUAGAUGCAUCUAGAGGGGGGAGACUUGCCCCCCAAGCAGGUGGGAGGCGCCCCCACCCCCUAGGGUUUCCAACCCUAGGCGCCUUGGGUCCUUGGGGGGGGGGGGGGGGUGCACCAGCCCAGUAGGGGGAUGGUUCCCACACAUAUUCAGCCUACUUGGUACCCCGGGGUAGGUGGCCCCACCUGGUGGAUCCCCGGACACCUUUCGGUGGCCCGGUACAAUACCGAUAACCCCCGAAACCUUCCGGCGACUGAAACUGGACUUCCCAUAUAUAAAUCUUCACCUCUGGACCAUUNNNNNNNNNNNNNNNNNNNNNNNNNNNNNNNNNNNNNNNNNNNNNNNNNNNNNNNNNNNNNNNNNNNNNNNNNNNNNNNNNNNNNNNNNNNNNNNNNNNNNNNNNNNNNNNNNNNNNNNNNNNNNNNNNNNNNNNNNNNNNNNNNNNNNNNNNNNNNNNNNNNNNNNNNNNNNNNNNNNNNNNNNNNNNNNNNNNNNNNNNNNNNNNNNNNNNNNNNNNNNNNNNNNNNNNNNNNNNNNNNNNNNNNNNNNNNNNNNNNNNNNNNNNNNNNNNNNNNNNNNNNNNNNNNNNNNNNNNNNNNNNNNNNNNNNNNNNNNNNNNNNNNNNNNNNNNNNNNNNNNNNNNNNNNNNNNNNNNNNNNNNNNNNNNNNNNNNNNNNNNNNNNNNNNNNNNNNNNNNNNNNNNNNNNNNNNNNNNNNNNNNNNNNNNNNNNNNNNNNNNNNNNNNNNNNNNNNNNNNNNNNNNNNNNNNNNNNNNNNNNNNNNNNNNNNNNNNNNNNNNNNNNNNNNNNNNNNNNNNNNNNNNNNNNNNNNNNNNNNNNNNNNNNNNNNNNNNNNNNNNNNNNNNNNNNNNNNNNNNNNNNNNNNNNNNNNNNNCCUCCCACCCCUUCACUAUUUAUAGGGGGAAGGGAAGAGGGGGCCGGCCCCCUAGAUGCAUCUAGAGGGGGGAGACUUGCCCCCCAAGCAGGUGGGAGGCGCCCCCACCCCCUAGGGUUUCCAACCCUAGGCGCCUUGGGUCCUUGGGGGGGGGGAGGGGGUGCACCAGCCCAGUAGGGGGAUGGUUCCCACACAUAUUCAGCCUACUUGGUACCCCGGGGUAGGUGGCCCCACCUGGUGGAUCCCCGGACACCUUUCGGUGGCCCGGUACAAUACCGAUAACCCCCGAAACCUUCCGGCGACUGAAACUGGACUUCCCAUAUAUAAAUCUUCACCUCUGGACCAUUCCGGAACUCCUCAUGACGUCCGGGAUCUCAUCUAGGACUGCGAACAACCUUCAGUAACCACACACAAUUUCCCAUUACAACUCUAGCGUCACUGAACCUUAAGUGUGUAGACCCUACGGGUUCGGGAACCAUGCAGACAUGACUGAGACACCUCUCCGGCCAAUAACCAAUAGCGGGAUCUGGAUACCCAUACUGGCUCCCACAUGUUCCACGGUGAUCUCAUCGGAUGAACCACGAUGUCGGGGAUUCAAUCAAUCCCGUAUACAAUUCCCUUUGUCCAUCGGUAUGUUACUUGCCCGAGAUUCGAUCGUCGGUAUCCCUAUACCGUGUUCAAUCUCGUUAUCGGCAAGUCUCUUUACUCGUUCCGUAACACAUGACCCCAUGACUAACUCCUUUAGUCACAUUGACCUCAUUAUGAUGAUGCAUUACCGAGUGGGCCCAGAGAUACCUCUCUGUCGUACGGAGUGACAAAUCCCAGUCUCGAUUCGUGCCAACCCAACAGACACUUUUGGAGAUACCUGUAGUGCACCUUUAUAGUCACCCAGUUAUGUUGUGACGUUUGAUACACCCAAAGCAUUCCUACGGUAUCCGGGAGUUGCACAAUCUCAUGGUCUAAGGAAAAGAUACUUGACAUUAGAAAAGCUCUAGCAAACGAACUACUCGAUCUUGUGCCGUGCUUAGGAUUGGGUCUUGUCCAUGACAUCAUUCUCCUAAUGAUGUGAUCCCGUUAUCAAUGACAUCCAAUGUCCAUGGUCAGGAAACCAUAACCAUCUAUUGAUCAACGAGCUAGUCAAAUAGAGGCUCACUAGGGACAUGUUGUGGUCUAUGUAUUCACACAUGUAUUACGGUUUUCGGUUAAUACAAUUAUAGCAUGAACAAUAGACAAUUAUCAUGAACAAGGAAAUAUAAUAAUAACCAUUUUAUUAUUGCCUCUAGGGCAUAUUUCCAACAAAGUGAACAUAUUCGUAUUUCGUUUGUAUUGGCCUUGCAUUCACUAACAAUAGACAAUGAUGAUCAUUUCCCAUGUCUUUGUUUGGCAAUACACAAGCCUUUUGCCUGAGUAGGUGAAUCAAGCCUAAUAGGAGGGUGGGUGGGUUAUUGGUUGUCAAAGAGUAAUAGACAAAGCAAUGUUACUUGGUAAGAGCUCACUGAAACAUUUUACAAUCAAAGCUUCUUUCAAGAAUCCAAAUGCACACUCCCUUACAAGAAUAGGAAUGUGGCGAAAGACAUUAUCUUGAGGUGUAGGGAUUCAAGGAAGGGGGAGUUCUUGGUUGUCAAAGAAUCAAUAAGCGAAUCAUGGAACGAGUCAACAUUUCUUUCUUCUUCUCUUGCCUUGGAUCUAUGUGCAUCAUGGAUUGAGUGGAGUGCAAUGAGCUGAAUGAAGUGGUGCUGGUUGCCAGCUCAAAAAAUGGGUAUGGUAGAGAAUAUAUAGAGGAGAUCUAAAACCUGACCAUUACACGAAAGCAAAUUAGGCUCGGAAUCACCCGUAUAAAACCAGCUGAAUUAUUGAACCAGUUCAAAUAAAUUUGAACGGCUUGGUUCGUGUUCAGGAAUGUGAAGAAAUACGACACUCGAAAGUACCAACGGUAAAAAUGAGAGGGGGCUCCGAAAAAAUGGUAGCAACUUCUCUACUAGUAUAGAAUGGCUUGGAAGUAGCAGCAAAACAUAUUGCUCGGUAGUACUGUAUAGAACAGUCAUCGCAAGAUUUUUGAAAUCGGCAUAAAAGAGUUAAGACACAACUCAACAGUUUUGAACAAAAAAGAAGAGGAGGUACCGAAAUUAUAUUGUGGCGAGAGAGAGGCGAACCGAGACGACAUAGAAGUUUUGACGAAAUGUGAUCUCCUAAGUGUUGAACGAAUGAGGUGGUCAUGAAUAUAGGGGUCGACCGUUCUAGAACAAAAAGAAUGAUGAUCCCAAAUAGUUGAGUCUAGGUUUAAUAUCUGAGCAUGAAUAACCAUAAGUAGCUUGGUAGUGCCAAACAUUCUUCGGAGGUACCAGGGCUUAGAGAAAUUUAUACAAAGAUGUCUAGGGAGUGGAUUUCGGAUAAUUUUGGCUUAUGAUGUGUUUUUGGAAUUUAAACCAAAACACUUGCUUGUGCCCUCUUCAUAGUAGGGUUGUGACCUAUAUUUAAUGUGAAUCUUGGAUCCUCUAAAAACCCUUGAAAGUACAACUCUGAGCUUGAUGAGGACAACAACUAGAAAAAUUGUUUGUAUGGUUCACCAAUCAUCUCCCACAUAUAGCCAUGAACCUCAAUAUGAAAAUCAGUCCAAAGUCCUGAAACAAACUCGCUGAAACCAUUAGUCCACUCAAAUGACUUCUUCAUUAAUCAUGGAAACAACUAGGGUGGUAUGGAUAUGCCAUUUCGAUUAGCUAUAGGUGCAUGUUAGAUAGCGGUAUAUGAAUACAUGGAUGUGCGGCUUAUGUGUUAUCAUGACAUUUAUGAAUUUGCCAUGAGCAUUGCAAUUCUUCGUACAAUGUCUAUGCUUAUAUUUAUGCACAAUUGACACUUGGAGAGAUGCUACUAGUGAACAUAUGAAUCCCGGUCCAGUUUUCCACAUAUAAACUACCCUACUCUUUUGUUUACACACACUUCUAUUUUCUGCAACUAGCAAAACUACUGAGAUUGACAACCAAUACGUAGGAGAACCGAGAUGGAAUUCCAAUCAUGCUAGGAAGUGGAAUCAGAUUCAGUUGUGUAACAAGUAACAACUCCGAGGUGGAAUUUCGUCAUCAACAGUUAAAAGCCUUUGGUGGACCACAUCGGCAGAAGAUUACCUGCACCUUAUUUCUUGAAUUAGGGGAGUCGAUUGCAGCUUGUACGUUAGGCACUAUCUUCCAUGAAGAUCUACUUACCUUAUCCACCUCCUUGGGAUUCUUAAGAAAAUUGAAAGGAUUGAGCGACAAUGCUCGUGGAUACGGAAUUAAGAGACCUGUGGACAGUCUUGGAUGACGUGGGACAUGGUGUUUUGGCCCAAAUUCAAGGGGGUUCAGGUGUCAUUAACCCAAGGAUACAUAAUGAAGUUGUUUUAAUGAAGCAUCUCCAUAAAGUUUUCAACAAGUUCAAUAUGCCGUGGGUUAAGCUGGUUUGGGAUUCUUAUGAUCAUAACUUUGUGCCUCAAGCCACCACUCUUUGUGGCUCAUUCUGGUGGAGCAAUGUGUUCAAGCUUGCCGACAAGUAUCGUCACAUUCUAUGCCUGAGUUACAAGCUGGAGAUUCUGUUAUGUUUUUGUAGGUGAAAGAACUAAAAUAGAAGCAGAGGCUUCUCUCUAAGAGUGCAAGCAUUUUGAACAAGCAACCACAUGGUUUGUUAGAAAAAAUGCUCAAUGGUAAAUUUAUUUCCUAAUAGUCCAUAAAACCCGGCAUCGGGUGGCAAAGUCAAACCAAAAAAUACAAAGAACCUGGCUGAGAGAUCCGCCACCAAACGAGAGCUAGAAUUUCAACAGUUGAAUACCCCGCAAAAAAAAGAAUUUCAACAGUUGAAUGAAAAGUUUGAAUCGAUAUUCUCGCCGGUGCAACAGAUAAUUGCAAAUGCCACAUAGUAUUUCCAAAUCCAAACACAUUAAUUUAUGUCCUUUGCUUAUUUCUGUGUGUACUUGUCAACCGUGCAUGCAUGCAGACAUGCACGGCCAGUACAGCAGUCGCCAUAUGCAUGCAAGAAGCGUUUUACUUCUUGCACAUCACACGCUUGCCGUCCAUGCCACUGGCGCAGGUGACAGUACCAGCGAGCUCAGAUUGCACCGCGGCACCGUCGUUUCCACGGCUGACUCCAUAGCGCGCCACGCUGCAGUCGGCGGCGAACAGGCUGGAGGUGGUGAAGGUGGCAUCUCCUCCCAUGGUGGGCAUGGAUGCCCUCACGUCGAAAUGGUUCACGUAGUCGGAGCGGUACGUCUGUCCGACCACACCGUGGACGUCGUCGGUGAGGGCGUCGAACUUGAACGCCAGCUCGAGGUGCGCGAGGCAGUCAUCGGCGGUGACGCCGUAGCGGUGCACCCUCGAUUCCUCCCCGGUGAUGGGCACGGCGUUGGCCCUGACGCUGAACUUUCCGGCGACGGCGACGAGGACGCCGUUGGUCGCCUUGGUGCGGGUCACGGACAGCUCGGGCACGCGGCUGGACG
RNAcentral lists this long non-coding RNA (57351 nucleotides) under Triticum aestivum (bread wheat). RNAcentral describes it as "long non-coding RNA (TAES_LNC024588)". The record is from RNAcentral. Lineage: Eukaryota; Viridiplantae; Streptophyta; Magnoliopsida; Poales; Poaceae.